This 88371-nucleotide long non-coding RNA is filed under the name Citrus maxima (pomelo). RNAcentral describes it as "long non-coding RNA (CMAX_LNC002826)". The record is from RNAcentral. Lineage: Eukaryota; Viridiplantae; Streptophyta; Magnoliopsida; Sapindales; Rutaceae.
UGCACAAUCCUGUAUACCACAUCAUUAAUUAAAUCGAUAUCUCAACUGUCCAAUCAAUUUAAUUACAUCUUGUUCCUUGAUACUUACUGGUUUUCUUUAAUGAUCAUUUUCAACAUACUAAAUAUGUUGACACACUAUGGCCAGAGAAUUCUAUGAUCAAGUGCCGAAAAUCCAUCAAGAGAUGUGUUGUACAAAUUGUAUAUUGUUAAUCCAUAACUCCAAUACUCAUAAUUGCUCCCACCAAGAUACCGGGUAAUCUUGAUCACAAGUAUGUGUCGUGCCCAUUGGUAACUCAAAUGGAAUAACAAUUACAAUCAUGAAAUCAUAAUUAACUCAAGAUUAAGAUUACAGUAAAAUCAAUACCUAUGAGAUUUAAUAAGUCUGACAGUUAUUACAAAGUUAAUUAAAUAUCAUAUGUGAUCAUGUUCGAUGUAGUCGUACUACAUCAAUAAAUGCAUACAUGAUAAAGACAAAUCACUCAAUGAAUUUAUUACAGUCUAUACCUUAAAUAAAGUGUCCAACUUUAUUUAUCAACUGCGAACUAAAUUUAUUUAAUCAUAAGAUAACUUGUAUUUAUGUCUUCUGUGAAUCCACAUGGUGAUCACAUAAAUACAUAUAAUAUAAUUAAAUGGACUUUGAUCAAAAUAUUAAUGCAAUUAAGAUAUUUGAAUAAAAUACCUCAUUAAUUUUAUUAAUAAGAAAAAAUAUUUAUUACAAUUAAAUAAACACAUAUGCUUUUAAAGAGCAUAUUUUCCCAACAAUCUUCCACUAGCUCUCAAAGCAUAUUUCGCAUCUAACGCAUGCCCAUGGAUUCUAAGUGCAAGUUAAAAGGUUUCCCAGGUAUGACCUUAGUAAAAGGAUUUGCCAAGUUUUGUUGUGACGCAAUCUAAGUAACCUCCACAUCACCUCUCUGCACUAUAUCCCUUAUAAGAUUAUAUUUUCUCUCAAUAUGUUUUUGUUUCUUGUGGUUCCUUAGAUUGAGCUACCGCACCACUAUUAUCGCAAAAUAGUUUAAGGGGUGCUGUUACAGCACGUACCACCUCAAGAUCUUGUAGGAACUUACGGAGCUAUACAACUUCUUUUGCAGCUUCGGAUGCAGCCACAUAUUCAGCUUCAGUUGUGGAGUCUCCGAUACAAUAUUGUUUCACACUCCUCCAACUAAUAGCUCUACUUCCCAAUGUAAACACAUAGCCGGAAGUUGAUUUUCUGGAAUCCUUAUCUAACAUAAAGUCAGGAUCAGUAUAACCCACUGGAAUGAAUUCAUCACCAAAAUACACAAGCAUAUAAUUUUUAGUUUUUUUCAGAUACUUCAUUAUAUGAUUGACCGCAAUCCAGUGUUUAGGUCCAGGAUUAGAUUGAUAUCUACUAACCAUCCUUACCGCAAAACAGAUGUCUGGCCUAGUGCAAAGCAUAGCAUACAUGAGACUUCCCACAGCUUCUGCAAAGGGAACUCGUCUCAUUCUUUCUAUCUCUUUAGAUGUUUUAGGUGAUUGAUCCUUAGAGAAUAUAAUUCCAUGUCUGAAUGGUAAUAAACCAGUCUUGAAAUUUUCCAUGCUAAAUCUAGCCAAUAUCUUAUCGAUAUAGACCGCUUGAGACAAGACUAAAGUUUUAUUCUUCCGGUCUCGUAGUAACUUGAUACCAAGAAUAUAACUUGCCUCUCCUAGGUCUUUCAUAUCAAAUUGUUUUGCUAACUAACUCUUUAUUGUAGUCAAUACUCCUAUAUCGUUUCCAAUUAGGAAAAUAUCAUCUACAUAAAGAAUUAGGAAUGCUACAGAUUUUUCUUAAAUUUUCUUGUACACACAUGGUUCAUCAAUGUUCUGAAUGAAUCCAAACGUUUUAAUCGCUUGAUCAAAUCUGAUGCUCCAUGACCGGGAUGCUUGCUUCAAUCUAUAAAUGGAUCUCUACAACUUACAUACCAUAUGUUCUUGGCCUUUUUGUAUAAAUCUAUCUGGUUGCUGCAUGUAGAUGUUUUCUUCAAGAUGCCCGUUAAGAAAGGCAGUCUUGACAUCCAUUUGCCAAAUUUCAUAAUCUAGCACUGCAGUAGUGGGGAGCAGAAUCCUGAUGGAUUUAAGCAUAGCAACCGGAGAAAAGGUUUCCUCAUAAUCGAUUCCCUCUUUCUGAGUAAACCAUUUGGCUACUAAUCUUGCUUUAAAUGUUUCCACCCCUCCAUCUACUCCUCUUUUUCUCUUAUAAAUCCACUUGCACCCUAUAGGGUUUACUCCAUUUGGUGCCUCUACAAGUUCCCAGACUUUAUUGGAAUACAUAGAUUCCAUUUCUUGAUUCAUGGCCUUUUUCCAAAAUUCAACAUCUUUAUCUAUUAGAGCUUCGUUGUAACUAGUGGGAUCUUGUACAUGUUCAUCUGAGAUAGCCGUAUAGGUUUCUCCUAAAAGCAUGUAUCUCGCAGGUAACCUAGUUACCCUCUCACUACAACGAGGUUCUAAAAGUGAUGGUUGUUAAGGGAUAAUCUUGUGUUGAUCAUCUGGUUGUUGUUAUUUUUCAUGUUCUGUAACAGGCGUUGAAAGCUGAGUAUCAACCUGAUCACCUGAUAGUUCUUCAAGUAUUACCUUACUCUUAGGUUUGAAGUUAUUCAUAUAGUCUUCCUCGAGGGAAGUGAAAUGUGUGCUCACGAUCACUUUCCUAUCUUGAGGACUAUAAAAUAAACCUCCCCUUGUUUCUUUAGGAUACCCCACAAACAUACAAACCUCAGAACGUGAAUCCAUUUUGUCUGCUUUUGGUUUCAGCACAUGUGCUGGUAAUCCCCAAAUACGGACAUGUCGUAAACUUGGUUUGCGACCUGACUAUAAUUCUAUUGGGGUUUUAGGCACUGACUUAGAUGGAAUUAAGUUCAAGAGGAAAACUGCAGUUUCCAGUGCUAGUCCCCAAAAAAAGAUUGGUAAUGACGAAUAACUAAGCAUAGAUCUCACCAUAUCCAAAAGAGUUCUAUUUCUUAUUUCAGCUACCCCAUUUUGUUGUGGUGUUCCUGGGGCAGUCAGCUGAGAUAUAAUCUCAUUUUCAACCAGAUACUCUUUGAAAUCUCCUGAGAUAAAUUCACCACCUCAAUCAGAUCAAAGUUUCUUUAUGUUCUUAUCUAAUUGCUUUUCUGUCUUAACUCUAUACUCUUUGAAUUUCUCAAGAGCUUCAAACUUUUGAUGCAUCAGAUAAACAUAAUUGUAUCUCGAGUAAUCAUCAGUGAAAGUGAUGAAAUACUCAUAACCUCCUCGAGCUUGUACAUUGAUUGGUUCACACACAUUUGUAUGUACCAAUUCAAGUGGUACUGUUGCACGUACUCCUUUGGCCGAUAAUGGCCUUUUGGUCAUUUUUCCUUCUAAACAAGAUUCAUAGAGUGGCAAUGAUUCAUUUUCUAAUUGACCCAAAAGUUCAUCUUUGAUCAUUCUCUGUAUCCUAUUUUGGUUUAUAUGACCCAAGCGUAAAUGCUAGAGGUAACAUUGGUUGGAAGAAAUAUUUCUUUUCUUAAAUAAAUGUGUAUGCUCAUCAUUAUUUAUCAUUGUGUCGUGCAUAGAAUGGAUCAUUGGACUUAAAUGAUAUAAAUUAUCUUCCAAUGUACCAGAACAAAUAAGGUUCUUAUUAUAAAAAAUAGAAACAGAAGAUCCAAAAUUUACAGUGUACCCUUACUUUGACAACAAGCUACUGAAAUUAAAUUCCUCUUUAUGUCUGGAACAUAAAGACAAUUAUUCAAAAUUAAAGUCUCAUUAUUAAAAGAUAAUAAAACAGAUCUAGUCUUCACUGCUGACAUGAAUUGUCUUGUCCCUAACUGCAGCUUGACGCUUCCUUCACUUAUUUUCCUGGUUUUCUGAAACCAAUAAAGUGAAUUACAAAUAUGAUUAGUUGCUCCUGAAUCCAACACCCAAGUGUCAAUAGGAUUCUAAACUAAACAGACCUCAAUUAUAAAAAGAUUUCUCAUACCUGAUUUCACAAUCUUAGGGCAAUCAUUUUUCCAGUGACCUUUCUGUCCACACUUAAAGCAUUUGCCUUUCGGCUUGCCAUCUUGCUUGGUAGACGGUUUCUUUUUCUCAGCUUUCUUCUUACCUUUGCCUUUCGGCUUAGGCCCAGAAGAUGAACUUUUUUUAAUAAUAUUUAUGCUUCCCAGAGAUUUCUCAGCACGAUAAAUCUCUUCAGCAGAAUUGAGUUCGUUCAUCAAUUCAGUCAAGGUCAUGUUCCUUUUGUUCAUGUUAUAAUUGACCUUAAACUCCUUGAAUGUUUCUGGCAGAGAUUCUAGCACCAUGUCAAUCUUUGAGUUAUCAUCGAUUUGUGCUCCUUGAAUCUCAGCCUCAUUCAAAUAGUCCAUUAUUUUGAAGACAUGAUCAUGAACUCUUGUGUCCUUCCCCAUUUUACUGUUCAUAAUUCCUUUCAGCGCUGCUUGUCUCGCGGAGCGAGUACUCUGCCCGAACAUCUGUUGGAGACUAUCCAUUAUUUCAAUGGCAAUCUCCAAGUUCUGAUGUUUGGUCUGCAGAAUAUUAGAAAUCGAGGCUAAAAUGUAGCAUUUUGCCAUUUUAUUGGCCUUUUGCCAUUUCUCAUAAAGUCUCAUCUGAUUUCUAUGAGCAUUAUCCGCUGGAACUGGAGGGCAUGGUGUUGAGUGUUAGAAAAUGUAUAUUUAUAAAGGAGAAAAUCAUCAUUUUACAUUUCAAGUUUUACUAACAACCCUUACUUUUAUGUAUUUAAGCUUCUUGCAAUUUAACUAUGUGUGUUUGAUUUUAAUUAAGUAUUUUAUAUAUUUUAGGGGCAUCAUGGUCAUUUCACAAUAAACAAGAGAUCAGACAGUAAAACGGACAUCACUUUUGAACUCAGGACGGUCGAAAACCUUAGGAGGAGCAUAAAAAGAAAAAUGGCACUAUUCACGUGUACGGUACUAUUUACGUGUAUGGUACUAUCUACGUUACUGUUUAUGACACUGUUCACAUAGACGGAUUGAUGACGUGGCAUUGACUGAUGAGGUGUCACGAUCCUGUUGGGCUAAAAUUUUUAUGUACUGUUGAUGGUGACGUGGCAGCAUAUCAGUGGACGAAAAAUCUCGCGUACGGUACAUGCAUCACACAGGAUUAUUUUCAACCAAACCGCGUCACUGUUCACCCGGGUCAAACCGUGUUACUGUUCAUCCACGUGGUCAAACCGCGUACUGUUGACUGAUGACGUGGCGCAAUCCUGAGCGUCCAAACUGUUUUUAAUCCGAUGGCCAUGAUUUACUCCAUGUAUCUAUAAAAAGAGGGCUUCCCCCCCUAAUUUGAUACCUCUGAAUCCAUUUUUGGGAUCCAUUUUCUGUAAUUCCUUCUCCAUCUUGUAUUUUCUACGUAUUUUAAUAAAUUCUCAUUUUGCCAAUAGUUCAAUUAUGAGUAUCUAAUUUUCUUUCAAGCUUGGGUUGAAGGUGAAGUCUCAACAUGUGUCAUGGGCUUUAUUUGGUAAAUUUAUUUUCUUUUCCCCUCUAAUUUUUGUGGAUGAUUUGACUUUUCGUCGACAAAUAAUAAUAAUCUUGUCUAGAUAUCGCCUUGGUUACACCAGCUCUCUAGUAAAAUGUUAUUAUUAUUUGGCACGAUAAGCCCUUAGCACCAUAUUGAUUAUAGUGUGGUUCAUGAGGUGUGGAUUCCCCCCUCAUGAUUUAAUUGGUAUUAAUAAGGAAUAUUUAGCUCAUGGUGCAUGUUGAUACGAAUCCAGAUACCCAAGUACGUCAUUUCAAUAGAAUUCUCUUUAAUUUAUUCUCGCCAUUUCAAUUCCAAUUUUAGAAUUUAUUCUCGCCAUUUUAAUUUAAGUUUUAGCAUAUUUCAAAUCAUUUCCACCACAAAUCCAAUCACCCAUUUACAAAAUUAAUUCUACACACAAUUAAAAUCCACCUCCUCGUGGGAUCGACACUCGUCACCAUUGAUCUAUACUACAAUAGAUUCGUGCGCUUGCGAGUACAUUAAAAUUUGCACAACAAGUUUUUGGCGCCGUUGCCGGGGAGGUAAGUUAUUUUAAUUCAUGGAAUUAAUUUUUGUGAAUAAUUUCUUUUAAUUGCUUUCUUGUAAUUUUUUUAAAAAAAAUAAUAAUAAAAAAGUGUGAAUUUACAUUUUGAGCUAAGAAUUUUUCUCUGCUUUAAAAUUCUGUAAUUUAAUUUUCAAUUUAUUUUUCCUUGUAAUUUUUUUAUCUUAUUAAUUUAUUCUUAGUUAAUUUACUUCAUGUAUUUGUUUUAGUGUGUUUUUAUAGAAAAGUUGUAACAGCGUAAUAAGGUUAGUAUCGUAAUUUCUCCUUCCUCUUUAUUUUUAUUUGUUUUGUUCCCAUUUAUUUUUUGUUCCUUGCAUGCAUGGUCGUAGGUCAUUAUUACCUAAUCUUGAACCUAUAGAUCUUGAACUUGAGAAAACACUUCGCACACACAAGCACAUUAAAAAUAAAUUUGGAAUGGAUUUACAAGCACCACAGGAGAGGCCAUUUAAGGACUACUUCAGUCCUUUAGCUAAUUUGAGCACAUCAUGCAUAAGAUACCCAAAUGUAGCUGCUAGGAGUUUUGAACUAAAACCUAGUGUGCUAAAUUGUCUCCCAACAUUCUAUGGCCUAGAAAAUGAGGACCCAUAUAAUCAUCUGAAUGAUUUUCAUGCCAUUUGUCAAACUUUUAAAUAUGAAAAUUUUUCAGACGAUGAUGUUAAACUCAGAUUAUUCCCAUUUUCUUUAAAGGAUAGAGCUCGUUCAUAGCUUAAUACAUUGCCUGCUAAUAGCAUUGCAUCAUGGGAACAAAUGGUAACGAAAUUUUUGAAUAAAUAUUUCCCAGUGCAUAAAACCAAUGCUAUUCGUAGGGAAAUUUCAGAGUUUACCCAGAGAGAUGACGAGCAGUUUUUCGAAACAUGGGAGCGAUUCAAUGGGCUACUCUUGAAGUGUCCACAUCAUGGGUACGAGAAAUGGCACCAAUGCCAAUACUUUUUGGAGAGAUUAUUGCCGAAUGUGCAAGAAUGGCUAAUGGCAACAAGUGGAGGAGAGCUAAUGUCAAAAAGUGCAUCAGAGAUUUGGGAAUUCUUCCAGCGACAAGCGGAUAAUUCCCAACAACGGAGUCGAUCACUCAGGAAUGCUAGAAGAAUUAAGGGAGUAAAUGAGGUUCAAAUUGGCGAGUCAACUUCAGAAAUCAAAGAAGUCAAGGAGAUGGUUGAAGGUCUCGCUCGACAAAUAGCAUCGUUAUCGACUGCUAAAUCAACAAAACCACAUGACCAUGACUCAUACUCCGAUCAAGCCAAUGCCAUAGGUGUAAUGAGAAAACCAUCGAAUUACAACUCAUACUCCAACACAUAUAACUCUGGAUGGAGAGAUCACCCCAAUUUUUCAUGGUCUCAAGGAUUCCAACAGAAUGGACCAGUAGCUCCAACUCCACCAAUGCAACCAAUUCCUCAAAAUCCUCAAGCCUCUCAGCCCCCAUUUAGACCAUACAAUCAUAACCAGAAUUACUCUCAACCCAGACCAUGGGAGGAUUCAUUCCAGAAUCUCAAGAAUUUUACUCACUCCACGAUUGAGCAACAGAACCGCACCAUUGAUGGACUACGAAAUGAGUUGAGAGCAGGCUUCAACUCACAAGCUCAAUCAGUUUCAAGCCUGGAGAAAAUGGUGGGACAACUCGCUUCUUCAGUUCAGACCUUGGCAAUGACUGUUGAGAAAGGCAAGUUUCCAAGUCAACCAGUGCCUAAUCCUAAAGGAGUGCAUGAAGCAAGUACCAGUUCACCACAACAGCAUGGAGAAGCCAAAGCCAUCAUGACCUUGCGAAAAGGAAAAGAAGUCGACAACAAAGUGGACAUGCCGGUGACAAAAGAAAAUCAAAUUGUACCUAUAAAUGCUGAGGACUCACCACCGGAGGAGAGAGAAGAAACCAACCCACGAUAAUAUGUUCCGAAAGCUCCAUUUCCUCAAAGGUUAGCUAAAGGAAAAAAUGAAAAAUCCACAGGUAAGAUUCUUGAAAUCUUCAAACAGGUAAGUGUUAACAUCCAUUUACUUGAUGCUAUUAAACAAGUUCCAUCUUAUGCCAAGUUUCUUAAAGACCUUUGUACUAAAAAGAUAAAUAUGCAUGUUCAAAAGAAUGCAUUUUUAACAGAAAACGUUAGUUCUAUACUCCAACAUAAAAUUCUUUUAAAAUGCAAAGACUCAGGCUCCCCCACUAUCUCAUGUAGUAUAGGGAACCACACAAUUGAGAAUGCUUCGUUGGAUUUAGGAGCUAGGAGAAUGAAUAUAUUUCUUUUCCAAUCUAUAUAGUUCUCUCCAGUGAGUUUAUUUUGACUCAGAAUAAUAGUAAGUGGGCUCAGGGAAGACAUUUUCUGAAAAAUAAAAUAUCCAUGCAUAAAUAAUUUGAAAUAAUAUUCACAAUAAAUGACAAAAAUGCACAAAACCAUAAAUGCAUUUUAAUUUAUUGUAAUAAUAAUCUAGUUCCGCUUUGACAAGCUAUCCGUUGGGGAAGUCAUGUCUAUACUUACUAGACUCAAUUAGUCAUUGGAUUAUUUACUUUCAUGUAAAGACAUGAUAAAUAAUUAUUGUUAUCGUUUUUGGGCCUAAAUUUGUUAAUAGAGCUUCGUUGGGAAUGUUAAUAACAAAUUUUAGUUGAGUGUAUAACCAUUGUUUCAAUCUACGUAUUUUUCAUAUCAAUAGUCACCGUUAGGGUGAACAAUCGAUUGAAAAAUAUUUCAAUUUUAUCUUUGAAGAAGUUCAUCAAAUAAAAUAUCUAAUAUAUAUACCCUCUGAAUGGAGCAUCACUGUAUCAUGAAGUCGAGGUAUAUAUAUAAUUUUAUUUUUGAACUAACAAUGGAGCCCGUGGGAAAAUUAUCUUGAAUUUUCUCUCUCCCACUAUAUAUUUUAAAAUUGGUUUUUCCUUUUAAAAUAUACAUAUUGUUAAUUGCAUGCUUCCUAUAAUAUUAUCUAGAUGAUAUCCAAUAUUAUUAAGCAUAUGCAAAUUUCAAACAAUAUAACGAGAUUCAUAAUUAAUGAAUAACAUGUAUCAUUAUGCAUAGAGUGGCACUACCUAUUCUAUAUGACAUGUUAUUAUGGCAUGUUAUCAUACAAAACAUAACAUAUAGAAAAAUAAUUAAAUAAUCUUAAUUCAUGGCUUUCCUAAAAUGAAAAAAUACAUUAACCCUAAGCCUAAUCUCCAUUGCGCUUCUUGUCAAUGUCCAUCUUUCAUAAGCUUGUCUUUGUUAAUGGACUAGGGGAAAUUGGGCUUUUAAAUUUAUAAUUGGUCCAAUUUUAAUUUUGAAAGGAAAUAAAUAAAUAAUUAAAAAAUUUAUUAAAAUAAAAUUUUUGGACCAAAAAUAAAUUUAAUGUAUUCAAUUUUAUCUAUGCAUUUUAAUCCAUUAAGCCCUAUUGAAAUUGGGCCUAAAGCUAGGAUUCAUUACGCCCAAAACUCUUUUUGGACUUAAAUGCAAAAAAUUUAAACGUGUCUGCCCAAAAGAAAAAACUAUGGAGCCAUAGGGACCUCAAUGAUAGAAACCAAUGAAACCCUAAAUCCAUCUUUUUCUUUUUCCUUUCUUCCCCAGCCGCCACCAGCACAAAGCCCACUACUGUUCAGAGACGCCAGCCAUCGCUGACGCAUCUCCGACACCGAGUCGCCGUCGCCACGUCACCGGAAACCCAAAAACUCGCGUGCGCAACUUGCUGUUCGUGCAGCGCGCGCUGCUGGCCACGCUAGCCGCGUGUGCUGCUUGCUACGGGAGCAGCGUGUGCCAGCGGGCUGCUUGCUGUUCGCACAACGCACGCUAGCUGCUGCUGCAUGCGCAGCGUGCACUCCUAGCAGCUUGCAUGCUUACGUUGCUGGUUGGUGGCUGCCGCUUGAAAAUUCAACAAGUUUCCGCAAUUUUCCAGUGAUCAAUUUACAAAUUUCCUAGGCCAAUUUUGGCUUACAAAAUUUUUAUAGCAGUAAACUAAAUCAAGAGAGAAACAUAGUGAUAAUAAACCACCCCUCUUGUUACAGAUCUAAAGAAAAAAUACAGCAGAGAAUCUAACCAUGAAUUAAGACCAAUCAUAACAUGCUUUAUUCAUAUAUUAAACAAAUAAUAUAUAUCUGAAUAAAUUGUGCCACUCUAAUACAUAAAUUUCAAGAUUAAUUUCAUACGAAAUUCUUAUAUAUUAAUAUGAGAUGGCUCUGAUACCAAUUGUUGGAGAAAAAUCAGGUUUUUUAAAUUUUUAUAAAACCUUUUAAGAUCGCUCUCAUACAAUAUAUAAGAAUUUGUAAUCUAAAAGUCGUACCUUGAAAAUCCGAUUUAACUUUUUCCGCUGAAGUGAUUUAGGCUCCCAGAUCACGAUUUGUCACCGCUACUCUUGUUAGAUCACGAUCCGUCACCACCACGCUUAUUAGAUCACGAACUGUCACCAAUGAUCUUCCAAGUUAUGACUCAGGUUUGAUAUGCACUUGACGUGUGGGCGCCUUUAUCACCACCAAAGCAACUAGCACGAGAAAAUUUUUCUCUCAACAAUAGAGAGAAAAAUCUUUUUUUCUAAUCUGUAUAAAGUGACUGUUUUCUUUUUCUUUAGAGAAAAUAAGCCUUUUUAUAUCUCCCUUUAGUGAAAAACCUAGGUUCCAAAUAAUGAAAAAACAAAACUCACGUUACUUGCUUUUUCUAUAGGGGACCCACCUUGUAAAAUAACAUAAGGCCUCUUACACACAAGCUAAUUAAAUAGAGCCUCCCACUAAAUGAUAUAUUUAGGCUUUUGACCCAAAUAGCUAGUUAUUUUGCUUAUUAAUCUAGUAGUGGUGCAAUCAAUUAAAUGAGCUAACCCAGGGAUCAUUUGGGAACAUACAAUAGCGGAUAUAACAAUUAGGCAUGUAAUUAAAAUAGCCUAAUUAUUUAAUUUUAAAUCUACUCCACUAAAAGAUUGGAAUUGACCUCCAUAAUUGUAUGCUCGAAUAAUAAUUCGUCCCAAGCCAAAUUUGAUUUCUUUACUGCAUAAUCCUUUGUACCACAUUAUUAAUUAAAUUGAUAUCUCAACUGUCCAAUCAAUUUAAUUACAUCUUAUUCCUUGAUACUUAUUGGUUUUUUCUAAUGAUCAUUUUCAACAUACUAAAUAUGUUGACACACUCUGGCCAGAGAAUUCUAUGAUCAAGUGCCGAAAACACAUCAAGAGAUGUGUUGUACAAAUUCUAUAUAGUUAAUCCAUAACUUCAAUACUCAUAAUUGCUCCCACCAAGAUACCGGGUAAUCUUGAUCACAAGUAUGUGUCGUGCCCAUUGGUAACUCAAAUGAAAUAACAAUUACAAUCAUGAAAUCAUAAUUAACUCAAGAUUAAGAUUACAGUAAAAUCAAUACCUAUGAGAUUUAAUAAGUCUGACAGUUAUUAUAAAGUUAAUUAAAUAUCAUAUGUGAUCAUGUUCGAUGUAGUCGUACUACAUCAAUAAAUGCAUACAUGAUAAAGACAAAUCACUCAAUGAAUUUAUUACAGUCUAUACCUUAAAUAAAGUGUCCAACUUUAUUUAUCAACUGCGAACUAAAUUUAUUUAAUCAUAAAAUAACUUGUAUUUAUGUCUUCUGUAAAUCCACAUGGUGAUCACAUAAAUACAUAUAAUAUGAUUAAAUGGACUUUGAUGAAAAUAUUAAUGCAAUUAAGAUAUUUGAAUAAAAUACCUCAUUAAUUUUAUUAAUCAGAAAAAAUGUUUAUUACAAUUAAAUAAACACAUAUACUUUUAAAUAGCAUAUUUUCCCAACACUUCCAACCUACGGCAACUAAUAUUUACUAAACAUUGUAAUUUUUAUACUCCAACUAUCCAAUAUCAAUAACAAACGAGACAUUAACCAUAUAUUUACUAAUAUAAGUUUUCCGAUUCACCAAGUACAUUUUAUUUUCACUAUACUUCUAUCUUCCAAAUGUUUGGUAUGAAGUUUAGACAACCUCAAACUAAUUUAUAUUAUAAUCAAUUAUUACAGAUGUUUGAGUAUUGUGGAGGCACAUUUUUUUUUAAAAUAAUUGUCUCAAGACAGUUUAUUCAUAUAAUCGAAAUUAAGGAUACAAAAAUAUUCUUAUAUAAAUUAUUGUGACACAAUUGUAUAAAAAUGCAACUCCCUAAUCUUGUAAUUUAAAAUGUUUGAAAUUAUGAGAUUUUGUAAUUGUAUGUUUAAAAAUUAUGAGAUUUUUAUUGGAUUUUUUUCCCUUUUAAAAUUAUUAAAAUCACUUAAGUAAUUUAAUGUUUCUAUUUGAAUUUUUAUUUUUAUUUUUAUUUUAUAAUUUUUUUGUGAGUUUUGUGUAUGCGGUAAAAUCCUUUGUCUUUAUUCGAACAUUGAGAACAAGUACUUAAAACUCUUUCUAGUUUUCAUAUUUCGGAGAGGGGACUGGAUGUUGAUAAACUAAAUAAGUUAUUUUUCUCAUUAAAAAUUUUGUAUUUUAAAAUUAUUCUGAAAAGCUUUAAUAUUUUCGAUUAUAAGUUUAAAGAAAUUUUCACCUUUUUUUUCAAGUGAGAUUAGUUGAUAUUGCAGGACUUUAAUUAGUUAAAUUAGCUGUCAUAUUUAAAAAAUAAUAAUGUUUAGUUUUUGAAUGAACACAUUUUGCUUUCAAACUUUGUAAAAUUAAAUAAUUUCUAAAAUCAAGCAUACCACCUAUUAAAAAAAAAGGGAAAAAUACCAAAAAGCCCAAUGAAGCCGACAAAGUUUUGGAUUACGUGCAAGCUUAGGACAAAGCCUAAUAAGGCCCAAAUUCUAAGUCUUCCAAAUCGUAACAAGCUUCUUUGUCAACUCAAUUUUUAAAAAAUAAAUUUCGAAAUUUGCUAACAAUUAUUUGGUCAGAUUUUAAAGUGUUUGAAAUUAUGAGAUGUUGUAAUUAUAUAUUUAAAAGUUAAUCAUCAAUUGGUAACACUUAUUAAUUCUAAUUGAUUGACACGAACGAAUAGCUUAGUGUGGCUGGUCUCAUAUAAGACUUUCUCAAAAUAUAAUUGUUGUGGACUGCAUGUUUCUUGUUUCGAAAUCGGAGGCCAUUACUAAUUUACCCAAGUGGGGCUUUCCCCAGUGUUUUAAGCAAACGCCUAACACACAUGAUUUUGUAUUAUUAAAAAGAUAGAGAUUUGAGAUGAUGAAAUUGGAUGAUUUGGUUCAUCUAAUUCAUAAUAUGACAACAUGAGAUUUCACUUACCAAACAUAUUUGCUAAUCAAAUAUAAGAAAUUGCAAAACAAGUCGUGUUUUAUUAUAUUCGUUAAAAGCCUUUCAAUCAUACAUCUGUUGGCCAAUUAAAUUACGCAAUUAACACCCUUUUCUUCAUCUUGUUCAAAAUCCGAUUCACUGCUUUUACUUCAAAUAAAACAAUAAAUGAAUCGCAAGUUUCUUUCUUAAACAAAUAAUUUUUUAUUUUUUAUUUUUAUCUCGAGAGAGAGAGAGAGACCUUCCCCCUGGCCAAUAAGUCCGUUUCCUCAAUUUGAGGAUGAUUUAUGAGUUUUCUUUAUUUUCGACUCAAAAUUCAAUACGUUUGAAGAAAAAAGAAAUGUAAGUUUGGACAAAUUCAUUGGAAAAAAAUUUAGUCAAUUGUGUUAUAAAUUGUAUCUCUCCGACCGUUAUUUUCGUUGAUUUUAUUUGUUAAGUCAGUCUACAACACAAACCCUAAAAUGUUUCAAUCUCACCAAUUAUUUUUUCUAUAAAUUUUUUUUAUUACUUUUAUAUAGCAGUAUUUUUGUUAUACUUUCAAAUUUUUUUUUUUUUUUUUUUGUCAGCGCACUUUACAAAAUUCAAGAGCAUUUAACGUAGUUUAUGAACACCCAGGUUCUAAAUGGUUAAUAGAACAAGGAUUGACGUUAAUUUAGUAAGUGAAAAUUUUCAUCUAUAUCCAAAUCUAAAAAAUAAUAAUAUAAAAUUAAAUAAAACACCUGUAACUUUAAGACAUACAUAUCCUGAAUGCAGAACUGGAGCCGAGAGGCUGGGAGUCAUAAUGACAAGAAGAAUUACAACAAAAUUGGGGACCAUAAUGGAAACUGGUAGAACCUACAAGGGCUAAUCUUAUCUUUCUUUCAAUUGAUUUUUGUGGAGCCAGAAACAAUUAGACCGAACAGCAAAUAGCCAUAAAUGAAAGCACAAUUAAAUUCGAACUCUCCGCAGACCCACGAUUUAAUAUCUUUAGAAUGUAACGAUUCAACCCAAAAAAAAAAAAAAAAUUCUAGUAAAAUAUUUCUUAAAAAAAUGAAAAAAAAAAAAGGAAAAAAAAAUGCUUCUUUCAUGGUUGCUUCACGUCACAACGUUGAAAACAAGAACAAAAUUGUGGUCCACGUGUCAUCUCAAAGUAGGUUGCUGACAUGAACAUCCGGCUCCAUCCCGGACAGAUGUUAUGUGAGUGGUUGGUACGCGUUUCCACUUUUUUGUUUUAGAUGCAACGACUCAUGCACUGAAAAAAAAAAUAUUUACGUUAAGUUUUAAAAAUUAGAGAAAUUAUCAUUUGUAUACUUUUAGUUUAUUUCAUUAUUAAAAAAUACUAUAAUACUUUAAGGAUGUAUCAAUUAUUUAUUCUAAGUUGAUAAAAUAUAUCAGCUGACCACCAAACCGUUAGUUGCCGUUUAAGUAUGAUGACGUCAAAAGGGUAAUUUGAUAUUUUCAUAUUAUACAAGUAAUAAUUUAAGGGUAUACAAGUGAUAAAAAGAGAAUUUAAGGGUAUACAAGUGAUAAUUUUCAAGGAUAAAAUCAUAAAUUUACUGUAACUCCGUUAAUUUUAAAACCGCAACUAACGGUUUGGUGGUCGGCUGAUAUAUUUUGUCAACUAAAGGUAGACGAUUGAUACAUCCUCAAAAUAUUGUAAUAUUUUUUAUAACAGAGCAAAUAUAGAGUAUAUGAAUGAUAAUUUUUCUAAAAAUUAAUACCGAUUUAAAUAUGAAUCUAAUUUUAAACUCAUAUUCAAGCACCGAUUGUACUCGGCAAAAAAAAAAAAUAAUAAUAAUAAUAAUAAUAAUAAAGAAGCAGAGGCCGGGCAGGCGGUUGCAGGGCUGCUGCUAUCUUAAAGUUUAGAAGAAGGUUCUUUUCUUUCUUUAGAGUUGAUGCCGUGAGACGUUUUUUUAUAUUAUUAUGAUAACCGUGGUUGCGGAUUCAAUUGAAAUAAUUCUUCUUCGACGCGUAGCGACCGCCCUCGCUAAACUCUCCUUCCAAGAAAUUAACAACAACCACUCCGCCAUUUUUCUUCUAUAAAUACAUAUACUUCACACACAUUUACAUAUUUACACCCACUCUCGUCAUCAUCAUCAUCAAUUAACAUAUCUCCAACUUCAGCUUCUUCUCCCACCAAACUUGUCAUUUUUCUUCCUUUGCCUUUCCCAGUCUUUUCUCUCUUCUAUCAAUUGCAAGCAUGAGCUCCUACAAUCAGAAUCAGUCCUCAGGUAACUAAAUCGUCUAUACAUCCUACUUCUCCUCCUGUUGUUACGUUCCCACGUUUUUAAAUUGUGAAUUUUGAAUCUACACGUUUUAUCUUAACUGGGUAAUUGUGUGUAUAUGUAGCAGCAUACCCCCCACCACCACCGUCUACAACGGCGGGUCCGUACGUGGCGGCGCCACCACCGGCAGGUUAUCCAACGAAAGACGGCGAUCAUGGUUACGCUAAAAAUGCCCCCGUAGAAACCAAGUCCAGAGGUGAUGGCUUCUGGAAAGGAUGGUAUGCAAUCUUUAUGUUUCACCUCACCUUAUGUUAAAAUUAUUCGUAUAUAUAUAUAUAAUAUAUACACAUGUAUCAUACGUGUAGUGACUGAUUUGGUCGGUUUAAUUUGCAGUUGUGCUGGCUUGUGUUGCUGCUGUGCCUUGGACGCCUGCUUCUGAACACACACACACGCACGGUUGAUCGUUUGAUUUUGGGGAUUCUUUUUUAUUUCCAUUAUUAUAUUACAUGUAUAAAUAAUAAUAUUGAAAACAGUUCAGAUUGUUCCUUAGUUUGAUGAUAGGAACGCCACCGUGGCUUGAGUUAUUAUUUUUGUAUACCAUUCUGUAGACUUUUGAUACACGCACUCUUGUUCUUGUACUUUUGAAUUUUAUUUGUUAUGUAUAUUUAAUUCUCUACAGUGGCUGAUUAAUUAAUAUAUCUUUAAAUCAAUGCUUGAUCGUAGAUACAUUUUCAAUACAAAAUAAGAACGAGUUGGUUUGGGGCCAACACAAACACAUACAUACAUGCAUGCAAUCACAUGGAAAGCACGUUCGUAACAAGAAUGAAUGAUAAUAUCAUGAUUUUAACAUAUUUUUCAAAAAAAAUUAUUUCCGGAUUUAUCUUAUGAAUGAUCAAAAGUCUUAUCACAAUCUUUUAAAUCAGCAUUAUAAACCGUCAACUUAGAAAAGAAGGAGCAACCAACAUAAUUUUUGUAACAACGUUGUUUUAGUAAAAUUUAAUUUCAUUACGAAAAGUUCACUUUCGUCUGGUCCAACUAUAACAAAGAUAGAAAUACAAGCUUAGCUCAUUCUUUAGCAUCGAUGAUGCCGUGUGGUUUCGAGUCAGAGGAAUGAUUUUUCAAUUUGAGUGCUAACUGCUUCGAGAGAAAAUAACUCGUUCUCAGCUGGUGUGAAGACUAAAGAGAUGCCCGAUUUGGUGUACUUUCCAACCUUUUGAAACCGAGCACAAAAUUCCAAAAUUCAAACAUUUGGAAGAUAGAAGUAUACUUUCCAACCUUUUGAUACAAAACUGUGAAAGCUGACCUUUACGAAAGAGGGGAAAUGACAUCUGCAUCCAUCAAGCGAAAAUAGUUUAUUUGAUGCGAUUUAUAAGAUAUUUUAUUUUUAUUUUAUUAUUUCUACUGUACCAAUGAAAUAAUUAGGUAGACAUCACAACACUUCAAUCAUAAAAAUUUUUAGAAGUCUGGUAUCAAAUAAUCAGUUAGGCUACAUUUUAAUUUGUCAAAAGUCUUCUAUAAGUCAUGUUUGAUAUUGAGAUAUUGUAACUUUUAAGAUACAUCUCUUGUUGGGAAAAAAUUUUGUAACUAUAAAAUAAAAGUUAAUAGUAUGUAGUAAAUACAAUUAUUAAAUAAUAAUUUUGACAAAAUUAAUAAAGAUGUUAAUAGAUUUUUUAUCAUAUAAGUGUAAAAUCAAAUUAAUUCAACUUCCAACCUCCAUCAGCUAAUAUUUACUAAAUAAUUUAGUGUUAUACAUUUUAUGCUACAACUGUCCAACAUCAAUUACAAACGGGACAUUAAUCAUUUGUUUACUAAUAUUGAAUUUUUUGAUUCACCAAGUACAUUUUAUUUUCACUAUACUUCUAUCUUCCAAAUGUUUGGUAUGAAGUUUUAGACAACCUCAAACCAAUUUAUAUUAUAAUCGAUUAUUGCACAAUGAAAACAACACUUUAAUUAUAAAAUUUACCAAAAACAUCCAUUACACUUUUCAAGACAUACAAUGCUCUCAACACCUUCCAAACUUGCUAAAGUACAAAAAUUAUGAGCAAUUUCUUAUUUUGUUUGUGGUUUUAGUGGGCAGAGUGUUGUAUUAUUUUGCAAGUUUUUUUCUUCUUUUUUCGGAUGGAGAAUUAUGCUGUGGUUUAAUUCAUUAUAUUUGGGCUGAGCCCAUUUUCCAACCGUUUUUCAAAAACCCACAAGAGAAAACAAAAACAAGCCCAAUACCCAAAUUCGCCGAGGGUUUCUAGGGUUUCACAGAAAGCCAGCUGAUAUAUAUAUAAAUCCUCAUUUGUAAAUCGAUCUAGCCUCUGCACAAACACACAAUAACCCAGAGAGAGCCGCGGGUGCGCGAGGAGCGAGAGUUGAAAUGGUGAAGUUUCUGAAACCAAACAAGGCCGUGAUCCUUCUUCAGGGCCGUUACGCCGGCCGGAAGGCGGUGAUCGUGAAGUCGUUCGACGACGGGACCCGCGAGAGGGCGUACGGGCACUGUUUGGUAGCGGGGAUAAAGAAGUACCCGGGCAAGGUCAUCCGCAAGGACUCGGCGAAGAAGACAGCGAAGAAGUCGCGCGUCAAGGCCUUCGUCAAGUUGGUCAACUACCAGCACCUGAUGCCCACGCGCUACACUCUCGACGUCGAUUUGAAGGACGUCGUGUCGGCCGAUUCCCUCCAGAGCAAGGACAAGAAGGUGACCGCUUGCAAGGAGACCAAGAAGCGCCUCGAGGAGAGGUUUAAGACUGGCAAGAAUCGUUGGUUCUUUACUAAGCUCAGGUUUUAGAUUUUUAACCAAAGGAAGAAAGCAACUUGUCGUUUUGUUUUGUUUUGUGUUAUUGAAAACGCUUUAGUUGUUAAAGUGCGAAUUUUGAGAUUUAUGUAGUGUUUUGUGAACUUAAUUUUUUCUGGAUCUGGUACUAUUUUUAUGUGAUAUUAUUGGGUUUAUAAUGUUUACUCAAGACGUCAUAAAUUAAUGCUGCUUGCUGUUAGGACUUGUUUAAUUGGGUGUUGUUUUGUUUAUGUUAUCUUCCAUUAUAGUCUUUUCAAGCUGAUUUGGUAACGUUCUGGAUAUAUUCAUCCUGAUUGUGGAAAUGUGGGUUGUGUAAAUGAUAUUUGAUGUUGGUUUCUGGGUUUGAUUGUGUUGAUGUCAUUGCGUAAUAGGUUAUUUCAUAAUUGAUUUCCUAUAGGCUGAUUGUAGGAAGAAUUGGGUUGUGAGUGCUCAUUGGGUUGAUUACUUGGCCUAAGUAAGGCUGAUGAAUCUUACGCAUCGAGUAGUUCAAUUGCUGAGCAACAUCAUGGGUAUUUAAUACUUUGCAACUGUUUUUUGUUUCUGAGGUUUAUGUUCUCUGCUUGGUUUGCAUUUUUAUUCUACACAAGCCAAGCUUGUCUAUAACAAAGUCAACUACUUGUGCAGUUUCUAAGGAUUUGAGAUGAAUGCUGAGUUCUAGGAACUGAGCUGUGUUUGCUUGAUGCUCAGUCCACAUGCUAUCGAGUUUAAGAUCCCGUUUGGUAUUAAGGCAUUGAAGUUACAAAUGAAAAUUGAUAAUUUGUGAUAAGUAUUGCUUUAAAAUAAUAAUUUGAUGAUAAUAGUAAUGACAACAUCAUAGGUAUGUUAUAGCACAAUUUUGGGAUAAAAUUAGCUUAUCAUCUAAACUGUAGCAGCAUGUGUUUACCAAAUACUUGGUGCUGGAGCUUUUUACGGCUGUCCAAAACCUAUAAGCAUGUGCAUGUAUGUGCAAGAAUCACAUGUUUACCUAACAGGGCCUGAGUUUGCUCCCCUAUGAGUUUAAGAUGGUUACUGCAGCUCUGCUGAUUUGAGAAUUGCUUUAUUAUUAUCUUCGGAGCAUGUAUAUUUUGUUUUGCUUAUGCCAUGCCAAGUACAAAUCGUUGUACUAAGGAGAGGAAACAAUUGUAUGCUUGUUUAUCGUUCCUAUAUAUUUAUGGCAGCAGUUUUGAUUAUUUCAAAUGGCUUGUACUUUCUGGUGAUUUUUAAUUUGAAGUUGAUCUGCAAUUGGUCAUUAAGAUCCCUAACUGGUUCUGCUCUGUUGAUCUACUCAAGCCUCAUAACAAUUUUCUAGUUAUUUUACAAAGUUUAAUGUUUUAUGAAUUGAUUUGUGUAUAAUUGAUUUAUCGUUCGGAUCGGGUUAACCGGUGAAACCCGAACGGAUUCAAAGCUGCAACCCGUUCGGGUUAAAAUUCGGUUCGAGUUCAACCCGAACCGAAUUUUCAACCCGUUCAAGUUGAAGCUUUUUUUUUUUUUUUUUUUUUAAGAUUCAGCUUUUAAAAAUUAAAAAUAUAUAUACAUUAAACAAAAAAAAUCCCUAUGGUGGUGGUUAAUUAUUGCUAAUUUGGAGAUGUUGUGUUGAGUAUUGAUGGUGUUGGAGAUGGAUCAUUAGCCUUAUUUGUCAUGUGGAGAUGUUUAAUCAUGCUUGUCAUUUGCCAUUUUAAUUUUUAGAUUUGUAAUUUUUGUAGCUUUAUUGUACUUAACUACAUGUUUUAUGUUUUGUUAACUUUAAAAAGACUUGUUGAAAUGUUAUUAAGGAUGAUUUGUGGUUGAUAUUUGUUGUUAAGGAUGUUUGGAAUUGAGAUUUUUGGAUUUUAAGUGGUGGUUGUUAGAAUUUUUAGAUUAAAUUGUUCCUUAAGGAUGUUUGGAAUAUUUGGAAUUGAGAGUUUUAAAUUGUUGAAAUGUUAUUAAGGAUGAUUUGUAGUUGAUAUUUGUUAUUAAAGAUGUUUGGAAUUGAGAUUUUUGGAUUUUAAGUGGUUGUUAUAAUUUUUGGAUUAAAUUGUUCCUUAAGGAUGUUUGGAAUGUUUGGAAUUGAGAUUUUUAAAUUGUUGAAAUGUUAUUAAGGAUGAUUUGUAGUUGAUAUUUGUUGUUAAGAAUGUUUGAAAUUGAGAUUUUUGGAUUUUAAGUGGUGGUUGUUAGAAUUUUUAGAUUAAAUUGUUUCAAUCCAUUCUAAUCCGAACGGGUUGAAACUCAACCGAAACCCGAACAACCCGAACCGAAACCUGAUUUGACCAAUAUAUGUGUCAGUUUAAAAGCAUUUCUUGGCUUUGGAUUUCAUUUGCGUUUUGCUCUGUAUCAUCAACCUGGAUUUAAUGUUUUGAUCGCGUUGGGUUAUUUAUGAACCCGUUAAAAUUUUUUUUAUCAUUCCUUAAAUUGACUGUAGACUGAUCAUGCGUGUUUAUCAGCCACUAAAUUUAACGGUGUCAUUUGACAUCUUUUUGUCAGCAACUGAUUCAUUCAUAGGCAUUACACUUCCUUCAAAUAAAAUUCUGAAGUCAAGAUAGAAGUAAAUUGGGAUCUCUAUGUUGCCGAUGAUGUUAACGUAGCAUGUGCUGAUUAUUUUUCAAGAUUGGUAUUUGACAGCCCGACAGCUGCCACAGAUUCUAAAUCGUCCUUACCACUCAGACAAGAUAUGCUAAGAUUCACCGUAGAAUUGGUCUUCGAACGAUCAAGUGCGGUCAUUUUUGAGUGGCAAAGCAAAUGACACCCUCUCGUUUGAAUUGAAGGAUCUAUGCCGAUUAUUAUUUGAAACGAAAGAUACCUCGAAAGGAAAACUAAUAAUGCAGUAAAGCAAACAAUGAUUGAACCCACUUUUGGUUUUGGAUAGGCAAACGAUGUUUGUGGUUUGCCUGUCGCUUGUUGUGAUCUAAAGAUAAUAUAGCAAUUCGCAGACCACCAUGAUAGUUUUCCUUGACAAUCGUCGUUGUACCUGCUUUCUUUUUCUUUCUUUCUUCUUCUUCUUUUUUAUUUUUUUGGAUUUAGCCACAAACAUUAUUAACCAUACAUUGAGGGCUAAUGCUAAGUUACAUGCAUGUAACUUACAACCCUCUCACAUGAAUAAUGAAUGGUGUGAGCCCACUCACUAUUUAUGUGAGAGGAUUGUAAGUUACAUACAUGUAACUUAGAGGGAUCAUCUAGUGUGCGAAGUCGUGCCUCACACAUUGGGCAGGCGGAAUUUUGGGCUCACAACACAGCCCAAUAAAUGACCACACGCACAGUCGCGCAAUUGAUUGAAAUCUUUUAACCAUCUAUCAUGUCUAAUUAAUUCAAAAUAAAUCUCGUCAUUUAUUAAACUAACAGAAAUUAUUAAUUUUUUGGCAAGCUUUUGCUAUAGUUACAAUCGGGGAUGAUUGGUGCUUAUGGAUCAACUGUGCUUCAAAUCUUUUAUAAUGAGAGAUUACCCCACUAAUCAUGUAAACAAUAAUAAGAUUAUAUUAAUUAGUGAUAUCGAUAUCCUAAACAUAAAGACAAAAUUUGAUCCCUUAUUCCCUUAAUUUUAUCCAUGACACAUAACCUUAGAAUCCAAAAGAUGAAUCAAUUAAGUAUUAACUCAUUUAAUUAAUCACUUAAUUAAAUCCCUUAAAUCUAACGUUUUCCAACAAGCGAACGGACUUAACGACACUCCGAAACGGAGUACCUAACGACGUUAAAAAAAAUAAUAAUAAACAAAAAUCAUCAUUUUACAUUUAUUCAUUUUCCCUCCCUCCCUCUGUCGUCAUCUCUAUUCUGAGCUAAAAAGUAUUUCAACUUUCCUCCCAAUUUUCCCUCACUUUCCCUCUCCCCAAACACAAAUGAAUUGCUCAGUUCUUAUCUUCUAAUUAUUGUUGUUAUUUUCAAUUCUACUUUCUCGUGCUCUGACACACAGCUCUGGAUUCUCUGUUCGUUAGUCUCUUUGUUUCUUUCCGAGGAUUUGUCCAUUUUCUCUCAAAAGCUCCUCGCUUUUCGAAUCUCAAUUAUCGAAUUAACCCGCCACUUUCAAUAUAUCAAUCAAGCACUUUCAAUCAGUUUUAUUAUCAUGCUUCAAAGCUUAGUAGUACCUCAGUCUCCAAUCAAUUCCUCCGCCGCGAUGAAAUCCAAGCGCGUGGACCGCGACGACGACGACGACAACCCCAACGGCGAUCCUUCGAGAGCCGUUGCCAAACGAGCUAACGUGAUCGAACAGGAACAAAAACUACAAGAGCAAGAAGAGGAAGCAGAACAGCACGACGUCGUCGUAAUGGAAGGCGAGUCAGCAGGCUUGAGACUCUUAGGACUCUUGCUACAGUGCGCUGAAUGCGUCGCCAUGGACAAUCUCGACGACGCCACUGAUCUUCUUCCGGAGAUAUCCGAGCUAUCGUCUCCGUUCGGUUCUUCACCGGAACGCGUCGGUGCUUACUUCGCCCACGCGCUUCAGGCGCGUGUUGUCAGUUCUUGUUUGGGAACUUACUCCCCCCUCACCACGAAAUCGUUGACGUUAUCCCAGUCUCAGAAGAUAUUCAACGCCUUGCAAUCAUACAAUUCCAUCUGUCCGUUGAUCAAGUUCUCUCAUUUCACCGCCAAUCAAGCGAUUUUUCAAGCAUUGGACGGUGCAGAUUGUGUCCACAUCAUCGAUCUGGACAUUAUGCAAGGCCUUCAAUGGCCAGGAUUGUUCCACAUCCUCGUAUCCCGGUCUAAAAAGAUCCGAUCCAUGAGAAUAACCGGGUUCGGAUCUUCAUCCGAGUUGCUCGAAUCGACUGGGAGACGACUCGCUGACUUUGCCAUGUCACUCGGCUUGCCGUUCGAUUUUAAUCCGCUGGAGGGCAAAAUUGGGAACAUAAUCGAUGUGAGUCAACUCGGGGUGAGACCUGGGGAAACAAUUGUGGUCCAUUGGAUGCAUCAUUGCUUGUACGACAUAACGGGGAGUGAUUUAGGGACGUUGAGAAUGUUGACUCUGCUGAGGCCGAAGCUGAUUACGAUCGUUGAACAAGAUUUAAGCCACGGUGGCAGUUUUUUGGGACGGUUCGUUGAGGCUUUACAUUAUUACAGCGCGUUGUUCGACGCGCUGGGGGACGGACUGGGUGCUGACAGCAUAGAGAGGCAUACGGUGGAGCAGCAGUUGUUUGGGUGUGAAAUUAGGAACAUAGUGGCGGUUGGUGGGCCCAAGAGGACGGGUGAGGUGAAAGUGGAGAGAUGGGGGGAGGAGUUGACACGGGUCGGAUUCAGACCCGUUUCUCUGAGUGGUAACCCGGCAGCUCAAGCUAGCUUGCUGCUUGGGAUGUUUCCUUGGAAAGGGUAUACUUUGGUGGAGGAAAAUGGGUGCUUGAAAUUGGGCUGGAAAGAUUUGUCCUUGUUGACUGCCUCGGCCUGGCAGCCGUCCGAUUGAAUCAAUCAUUGAUGAUUUGAUUUGAAUUCAUCGGUAUUAAUCAAAAGAAAGAAUUUUGUACGCGCUUGACAUGAUGAUGAUCAAACGUUGGAUUUUGGGGAUGUUUGGUUUUCUUAUGAGACUUCAAGUACAUUUGAGAUUGCGGCUCUGUGGCUUUUAACUCGAUAGAAUUGUGAGGUGUGAAGUUAAAAUCAAAGUUAAGGUGAAGCAAGGCAGUCCUAAACAUAUCUUUGGAAGAUUAAUCAAUUGAUCAAGUGGAAUUCUCUUCUUUAUUCACAAAAAAAACAACAAUAUUUGUAUUUACAUUUAUUUUAAAUAAUCCCAUAAUUUGUAGGUGUUGUAGUGGAUUUGUAAUUGUAAAUGCUGAUAUGAAGUUCAGUUAUUGACUGUUUCUUAGUUUUUUUUUUUUAAAUAAACUUUUCUCCUUAAUAUUCGAUGUGUGUGUUUGUUUUUAUUUAAGCUUUGGUUUUGGGUUGAUUGGAAAUGAAUUUUUGGGUGGAAACAACAAAAUAUAUUCCUAAAUCUUGUAGUCUCUUUUAAAUUUAUGUUGAUGUUAGUAUCGAGCUUUGUCAUUUUCGGGUCCGACCUUACAUGUAAUUAAAUAUUAAUUAGUGUUAUUAUUAUUAUUUUUUUUGUAUUUCACACGAUAUUCCCUGAAAUGAAGUUGCAAGGUUUGAUAUUCCAUCAUUCUCUAUAAACAAUGUCCACAACGAUUUUUUAUUUUUUAAUUUGGUGACUUUGUGAAUCUAUUGUUUUACGACAAAGUUUAAUCUUAUAUUUUCUAGAUAAAAUUCUGUCAAAUCAUUCUAUUCGUUUAGAUGGUUAUAAAAUUUCAACGGUUUUACUCAACAAGAUGCGUUUGAUUGGAUAUUAAAAGUUGUGCCUACUUUGGUACCAAUUAUUAUCAACCAUGAGUAUAAAUUACCUUAAAUCUGUGUGGAUGUGUAGUGCUUAUAAGAGAAAAAUAUUAAUGAAAUUAUUCACAUUUAAAAAUUUAAAAUAUCAUAUAUUAACCAUGUGCGUUUAGAGUAUCCUAACAUAGUGAACACUGAGUAUAAUCAACUAGUAAAAUUUGGAGUAUUUUGCAAUACAAAAGUGAUGUUGGAAGGUGGACUUAGUAAGUGGAUUGAUAUUGCUCUAGAGUGAAAACAUUUUCUCUUUAGGGAUUAGUGAUAAUAGAAUGGAGCUUUUAACACCCUUCUAAAAAUUUUACAACAAUCCUUUUGAAUCUUAUUUCUUAAAGUACUCUUAAUUUAAUUUAUAAAAUACAAACUCAUAUAUUAAAAUUAAUCUCUUCCUAUAAAAUUUCACCUUAGAAAAAAGUAUUUCUUUUGAGUUCUAUUAUAAAAUACAUACAAAUCAUAAAGUCUUUAAAUAUUUUACAUACUUUAUAUCUCUACACUAAAAAUCAUUAAAAUUUAAUAACAAUUUAUUUAAAAAUAUAUUUUAAUUAAAAAUUAGGAUAUAAAAUUUAAAAUUAUAAAAUGGGGUGGGUAUAAAAUUUUUAUUAAAAGAAUAUUUUCAUUUAAGUGUUUAAUUGAAUUUUGUUUCAAAACAAAAAUUGAAGAAUAGAAAUGGAAGAAGAAAGAAGAAACCAAGACUGACGACAAAAUCGCGUAGCUCAUGGUGAGUCACGAUGACUUUGCUGUAGCCGAACGAAUGAGUCCACAUGUGUGAAUGUGAUAUUGUGAUGUAACCUCAAUUAGAAAAUGGAAGCUCUGUUUUUUUUUUUAAAAAAAUAAUUAAUUAAAAAAAAAAAACAUAUUUCAUAAUAGUACAACCUCUCAAAAGUUCUGAGAAACAAUUUUUUAAAGAAUAAAUCACAUUAAAUAAAGCUAUGAUUAACUAACAUAAGAUAAAAGAGUACAAUAUUAUUUCGCCUGCUGGACUGAGGCCCAAUACAAGAGCCGCAUAUUCAGCAUGUGUUUGCCCCAAAAUAUCAAGAAAUUUAUAUUAUUUUAAAUAUAAUAUUAUUUCAGUGAAGAUUUAUCUAGUAGCUUCCGUACUCUCAGAUGGUGGAUUAAUUUCUUGAUACACACCUAAUUAUUUUACAAAGAAAAAAAAAGUUAAAAAUAAAUUAAAAAUAAAUGUUGUUUCAGUGGUGAUGAAGAUAAGUAUGACAUUGAUUCAAAAAUAGAAGAGGGAGGUUGUUGAAAUAAAUUGAGACAGCUAAAUAUCACUAAUUUUUUAUAUAUCAUUUCUUACAGGGAAAAAAAACUUAUAAAUUAGAUAUUAAAAUAAUAAAUAAUUAUUUAAAUAAAAAACUUUAGUCAGUAAAUUGAGGCUGAAAAUUUGGAAUUGGAACCCACCUAAUGGAGAGAAAAUUAGGUUAAUGUUAAACUUGGCUCAAAAUAAGUUUAAUGUUGAAAUUUUUUUAUGCUUUUACUUCAUGUUUUCUUAAGAUGCAAAGUGUUUUUAAUAGAAUUUUAUGUAUUAAUUUUUAUUUUUUUAAAAUAAAUAUACAGAGGAAAUUUAGCUAUGAUAUAUAUAUAUAAUUUUUAUUAUUAAUAAAUUUAAUUAUUUAUAAAACGAAGAGUCCUAUUAGUAAGAGGAGGGACUUAACUUUUUGGUGGGGCGUCUUCCUUGCCCAUGCCUUCAGGCUUCAGUCACCCUUGCUGAAAUAAAAUUAACUAAAAUAUUAGUAAUUCACAACAAUAAUGUUCCAAAAUAAAUUUAGCUACUUUGGGUCAACGAAAUAAUCAAAUAAUGUACACAUAAUAGAGAUUUCCUUGUUUGUAAAGGACAACAAAGUCAUUUCGUGUUUUUUAAACAGGUUUUUCAAAUGGGGUUUUUUUCCGAAAUACCUCUCAAUAAGGGCUAUUUAUCCAAAAAAAAAAAAAAACCAGUAUUUUGCAAGAGGAACCAGUUGCCUAUACCAGCGGAACAAAUAGAGAGAGAGAGAGAGAGAAAAAAAAGACACUAUCAUUGGAGAUAGAGGGAAAAACGUGUUUUUCAUUUUGAUUUGAGAAUCAAAUUGAUAAAAGAAAAGAGCAAGUGAUGGAUAGGUUGAUUCGAAGAUACCCAUUUCUGUUCACGGAUCAAUAUGUUCGUAAUUACAGAGCUACUAAACCAAUCAGAUUAGUUGAUGAUUUCAGCUCCAAUACUGAUGAAAUUCAACGGCUUUCUUGGAAAGUUUCGAUUUUUCUCAAAGAAAGCAACUGGCAGACUCUUAUAAAGAAUUUGAAAAUACCCAAUAAGCUAAACCCAGAUGUGGUUCGAUCUGUGCUCGUUGAAAACCAAGUUGGUAACCCCCAACGGCUCGCGGAUUUCUUCUAUUGGUCCAACUGUAAACUUCGUAUCCCACAAUUGUUGGAUUCUUUUGCUAUUCUUGCUGUUAUGCUUUGUAAUAAUAAUCUUUUUGGUCAUGCUAAUGGUGUUUUGAAUAAAAUGAUAAUCACUCCAAGGCCUUGUUCUGUGAUUUUGAAUUCGAUUAUUUGUUGCUUUAGAAGUAAUGUGGGUUCUAAUGCUAUGGUCUUCGAUAUAUUGAUCGAUAGUUAUCGGAAGAAGGAUAUGGUUAGUGAGGCAGUGGAUACAUUUUUGGGUUUGAAGAAUGGUGGGAUUUUGCCUAGUUUGAGAUGUUGUAAUUCAUUGUUGAAUUAUUUGUUGAAGGGCAAUAGGCUGGAGUUGUUUUGGAAGGUUUAUGAUGGAAUGCUGGGUGCAAAAAUGGAUUUUGAUGCAUAUACAUAUACGAAUUUGGCUGGCGCAUUUUGCAAGGUUGGGGAUUUGAAGAGUGCAAAAAGGGUACUUAGUGAGAUGGAUGAGAAGGGAUGCAGUCCUGAUGUGUUUAUUUUCAAUGUGGUGAUUGGAGGCUUUUGCCGAGUUGGAGCUAUGGCUGAAGUGUUUGAGCUGAAAAAGUCUAUGGUUGAAAAGGGAUUAGUCCUGGAUAUAAAUACUUACAGGAUGAUCAUUGAUAUGCUUUGCAGAGGGAGAAAAAUGGAAGAUGCAAAAUUGAUGUUGCAAGAGAUCACUCAAUUGAUCGAUAGUUAUCGGAAGAAGGAUAUGGUUAGUGAGGCAGUGGAUACAUUUUUGGGUUUGAAGAAUGGUGGGAUUUUGCCUAGUUUGAGAUGUUGUAAUUCAUUGUUGAAUUAUUUGUUGAAGGGCAAUAGGCUGGAGUUGUUUUGGAAGGUUUAUGAUGGAAUGCUGCGUGCAAAAAUGGAUUUUGAUGCAUAUACAUAUACGAAUUUGGCUAGCGCAUUUUGUGAGGUUGGGGAUUUGAAGAGUGCAAAAAGGGUACUUAGUGAGAUGGAUGAGAAGGGAUGCAGUCCUGAUGUGUUUAUUUUCAAUGUGGUGAUUGGAGGCUUUUGCCGAGUUGGAGCUAUGGCUGAAGUGUUUGAGCUGAAAAAGUCUAUGGUUGAAAAGGGAUUAGUCCCGGAUACGUAUACUUACAGGAUGAUCAUUGAUAUGCUUUGCAGAGGGAGGAAAAUGGAAGAUGCAAAAUUGAUGUUGCAAGAGAUUACUCAAUUGGGUUUGGAGCCUCAUUAUGCUGUGUAUUCUGCUUUGAUUCAUGGGUUCGCAAUGGAAGAAAAUAUUGAUGAGGCUUUCAGAAUGAAGGAUGAGAUGGUUUCUUGUGGUAUGCAGCUAAAUUUGAUGACAUACAAUUCGCUUGUCCGUUGUACUUGUAAGUAUGGGAAGAUGGAGAAGGCAGUUGCGGUUGUGGAUGAGAUGAUAAAGAUGGGCUUGCAACCAAACUGCCAAACUUAUUUUUCGUUGAUUGAGGGAUACUGCAGGGAGCAUAAUAUGGAUAGGGUAUUAGAGCUACUUUCUGAAAUGGACGGGAAGAAUUUGGUGCCUUCUGCAGUGACAAUUAUUAAUAUAUUAUGCAACUGUAAGGAUAUUUUUAAGAAAACCUUAGCUAAAGACAUUUUUAAGAAGAUACUUGCUGGUGGCUUCAAGCCAAGUACUGCGAUAUACAGAAAUCUUAUUGUGGGUUACGCUCGUGAGGGUAGGAUUGAGGAGGCAAGAGAGAUUUUAGACGGGAUGAGUGACAAAGGAUUUGCACCUGAUUUAUUCUGCUAUAAUCCCAUCUUGACAUGCCUUAGCAAAGCUGGGAAGAUGGAAGAAGCUACAGCAUGUUUUUUUGAGAUUUCUGAGAGGGGUCUAAUCCCUGAUGCUGUUACUUAUGGGGCCUUAAUCUGUGGAUUUAGUAAGGAAGGAAAAAUGAAGGAAGCAGCAAUGUAUUUCGAUGAGAUGCUUAAUCGUGGUUUGCUACCGAAUAAUCUUGUUUACACUGUCUUGAUUGGUGGGCACUUAAAAGCAGGUAACUUAGUGAAAGCUCUUGCAACAUUCAAAUGCAUACUUGGGCUGAGGGUGCUUCCAGAUGUGCAAACCUAUAGUGUCUUGAUAAAUGGCCUGGCUAAUAAUGGGAAAACUAAGGAGGCCUUUGAGAUCGUCUCACAGAUGAAAGAAAGGUGUUUGGUUCCUGAUCUUGUCACCUAUAGUUCUGUUAUCUCCGGAUUUUGUAAACAAGCUGAGAUGGAGAAAGCUUUUCAAGUUUAUGAUGAGAUGCAUUUUAAUGGUAUUGAUCCUAAUAUUUUUAUUGUCAACAUAUUGAUGGAUGGACUAUGCAAGUUAGGAGAUGUUCAAGGAGCCAGACAAUUGUUUGAUAGCAUUCAAGAAAAGGGGUUGGCACCUGACAAAGUAACCUACUCCACCUUGAUUGAUGGUUACUGCAAAGCGGGGGAUGUGACUGAGGGUUUCAAUAUAUUUAAUGAGAUGCAAUCAAAAGGGGUUGAACCACACGAUUUUGUGUACAAUGCUCUUCUCCAUGGGUGUUGCAGGGAAGCAGAUAUGGAGAAGGCAUUCAGCUUGUUUCAUGAAAUGGUGAAGAAGGGUUUUGCUACUACAUUAUCGUAUAAUAUUUUAAUUGAUGGAUUUUGCAAGUCUUGGAAGCUGCAGGAAGCUUUUUCUUUGCUAGAGGGAAUGAUUGAAAAGCAAAUAUUACCCGAUCAUGUGACUUACACUACUGUGAUUGAUUGGCAUUGCAAGGUGGGGAAGAUGAAGGAGGCUAACCUGCUCUUUUUGGAUAUGCAGAAGAGAGAGAUUAUGCCGGAUGUGGUCACUUACACAUCACUUAUGCAAGGUUACCACAAAAUAGGGAUGGAGACUGAGGUUUUCACAUUAUAUGAGGAUAUGUUGGCAAAGGGUAUCAAACCGGAUGAAGCAGCUUAUGAUAUUGUAAUUGAUGCUCAUUGCAAGAAUGAUAACUUAACUGAGGCUUUUAAGUUGCGAGAUGAGAUGUUGCGGAAGGGUUUGCUGUCAAAGGGUAGUGCUUACGAUUCAUUAAUAGAUGCUCUUUGCAAGAAGGGAGAUCUUUCUGAAGUUUCAAAGCUGCUUGAGGAGAUGAAGCAGCAUGAGGUUAAGCCCUGCCUUAGUACAUGUAGUGGUCUACUCGAUAGUUUUCAUAAAGCUGGAGAAAUAGAUGAAGCAGCAAAGAUAUUUAGGAGUAUGAUAAAUUAUGGGUGGGUACCUGAUGACUCUAGUUUGAGUGAGUCAGAGAACAGGCACUUAACUGAUCAAAAUUCUGUGAGUAAUCACAAACUUGUCAAAUGUAUGGCAUAAAGAGUGCAUCAGCUAGAAGUACCCUUGGUCAAGAACUGAAGCUGUAAAGAAAAACUAUAUUCUGCUUGCAGUUGCUGCUACCUCCUCAUAAAAAAGUAAACCGUUUCUUGAGUAAGCAUAAAAAUGAAGUGUGGAACUCAAGCAUAAAUGGAUCAGCUAUUCAGAUUUUUAAUGGGGACCAACUUCUGUAGCUUUGCCUUCUGUAAGGGACUUGCUGCUUUUACUCUGUAUGCCAUUUAUGUUGGUUUCCCAAGCCUCCAAAUACGAUUUAUCAUGUCUAAGGUUAGUGCAGCUGUUAGAGGCCAAUGUUACUCUUAAUUGUUGGAGUGGCUUUUGGUUUUAAACCAUGCUUUUUUGCACUUUCAGGUAUGAACUGUCAUUGUAGUGAACUUCAGUAUCUACAAAGGUACAUGUUCCAGCCACAUUUGGCAGUGAAAGCAGAGAAAUGCAUGCGUCUGCUGAUCUUCACAUUGUGCCUGAGGUGAUUUAUUUGAAUUCAUUAACUUAUUUUUUAUGUAUGUAUAGAUUCGAAUCUAAACUGUAGACAUGGUUAAUCGCCAUAUUGGUGGCAUAUAUUUCUCUCUUUUUGGUCCCCAAAGAAACUGUCAUAUACUAAUCUAUUGAAUUUGGUCACAUUUGAAUAACCAUUUUUAUUCAUGAUAUUCUAGCAUAUUCUAGUUAUUAUCUGGGUUGAUGUUUCUUAUUUUAUCAACAGGGUUCCAACAAUCUUCCUUUCAGAUGUCAGCUAAUUUAUGGACCGUCAAGCUUUUGAUUAGUGAGAUUUUGCAGAAACGUAUGAGCAAAAAGUCUUUAUUGCCAUAUAAGAGCCCACAGCAAAGGGGAGAUAAGGCUGUACUGCAGGAGUCCAGAGAAUUUCAUUCAAGGCUGCAAUCUGUUUUGCAGAAUAAAAGACAUUAGGCAUCUUACUUAGCAAUUCAUGAUUUUUAUCUGAUUCUGAAGUUGUUUUACGCAUUUAUUUCUUGUAGCUUAAAAUGAAUAAUUAGAUGUUUUUUUUUUUGAGAGAGCUGGUGGACGAAAUCGAAAUCGAUUUGUAGGCCUCUAACCUCCUCAGGAUUUGAACUCGGGUGGGCAGGCAAAUAAAGGGACUUGAAAACCACUUGGCUGAGCCCCUGAUGCUGAUUUGAUCCUUUGUAAAUUUUCCAAUGUUCUACGAAGCCAUCCAUUUUUCCUGUUCUAUUUACCCAUAAUACUUGUUGGUAAUCUUAUUUGAUUCCUUUGAGAUGAUAAUGAUUAUUCUUCUGCUUUGAUAGUUGUUGCUGUGUGUUCUAUUGUUGGUGGCUGGGUAUGAAAUUUAAUGCAAUUAAAAUGAGAAUAAUUUCUGAAUGAUUUCUCGAUUAGACUGUUUCAACAUAAGAUAAAGGUGAACUUUAUCUGGAAAUACAAGUUAUCAUUCUCCUUUUUUUUUUUUUUUGGGUUCUUGCGGUAUUUUAAUUUAUCAUCAAAACUUUCAAUCAUGAAUGAUUUCUCACCAAAGUUUGGCCGGAACUUCAAUUUUUAUUGGCUUGAUUUUUGGUGAGCUUUUUAAUAUUUAUAUAAUGCACAGGAAUUUCAGAAAGGAAAAUGGAAGCACCAAGGAUAUGUUGUAUAGCAUCACUUGGACAUGAGCAAAAAUGCAGCAGCAAAUAUCACUUGUGUUUUCUUGGACAAAAUUUUAAUCAAUUCUAUGCGAUGUUUCCAGGAAGCAUCUGCAAUAUAAGAUAGAUACAAACUUGACAAAUUACAUGAAUCAACUGUAGUUUUGCUUUGCAUGCAGGCAAGGGAUAAGAAUGAAAACAAAUUCCCUGGCCAAUUCUCAAAUACCUGAAUGAAAAAGCAUACAAACAAAGCUUUCCAGUCUUCUGUGCAUUUACUUGUAUGAAGGAAAAAGGAAUAACCCAAAAGAAAAAAGCUUUAAUACAAGGCAAAAACCAAAACCCAGAAUAUCAAACCUAAUAUCGUUUCCCCAGAAUUAUGCCGAUGAUCACAGACACCAGGGCUACUCCAAUGAUAAACUUGAAGGUCAUUACAGGAGAGGCAUCGGCUCGUGCGGUAGGGAUCUCUCUGGUAGAUGAGGUUUGAGCUGCUGCUUCUAACUUCUUGCUCUUUCGUUUUGAUGGUGUCGAAAUGACUGACCCAAUGUCUCUGGAUUUGAUCUCUGCUGCAUCCUUCACUUCUGAUGGAGUGUCCUCACCGCCCUGCUGCAUUUAUUCCAACAUAGGCGGAGUUAAAUUUUCAUUCAGAAGACAGGGUUCAAAUAUUAGAACAAACUGAAAUUCUUGAAAGAUUUGAACGAAGAGAGUUGUUUCUUUCAUUUCACAACAGACUAAUUUAAAAGCUUUGCUAAGUGGAGCAGAAUGAGAAACAAAGUGUUCAAGUGCAGAUAUGUUUGAUGAGAAAUGUUGUAGCAGUUGACAGAUGUAGCUUUGGAAUAUAAACUGACCUUCAGUUUAGCCUGAGCUUGUUGUAACUUCUGCUCAAGCUCUGCAACUUUGUUCUGUAGAAGUGCAGCUUCUUUGUUCUUAGCUCCAAGCUCUUCAAGAGAACUCUUCAGAGCUGCCUCUCGCUCACUGUCCUUUUGAGAAUCUGCCCCUCUCUGUCACAUUGGAAAGUCAAUUGUCAACCUCUCACUAUACUAUGAAUGUGUUUGGGGCAGCACCCUAUAUUGGUUAAUCCUUAUUCAGACAUAAAAAUUAUAGAAGGAAACAUGACUUUGUUCAGGCACAAAAUGCAACAAAUUUUCUUCUAGAAGUAAGUUAAAUAACAACUGAUCAACCAUAAUCUUGUAAGGAAUUUACAGUAAAGAAGCCUAGGUAUAUAAAAUGUUGCAACCAGUCACUAACCUGUUCAGCAAUUGCUGUCUGAGCAAUCUGUAACUCUCUCUGAAGUUGAAUCACUUGUUCAUAUAAUGCAUUUCGGUCCUUGACUUCAUGUGCAUGAUCCUCUAAUUUUGAAUUUAGUUCUGCCUCUUUACCAGCAGCAGAAACCUUGACGUUUUCAACCUGCAAAAAAGUACAUAAAUGUUAGAAUGGUUUCUCAAUCUGUGAGUAGAUUCUUUCCAGUUGCUUCCCCCGAAGUUUUGUUAUUAAAUCUUGCAGAACUGCAGUAACAGUACCUCUUCUUUGAAUUGAGUUUCGACAUUCACCAACAAUUCUUCAAGUUCUUUGAUGCGAGUUUCCAACGCAAACUUUUCAGCAGCCUGAGCUUUAAGACUUUCUAUCUCAUACUUGAAAGUUUCUUCAGUUGCUUUCUUCUCAUUCAAUUGUGCUUCAAGCUGUGAUAUCACAGACUGAAGUUCAUUCUUAGCAUUUUGAUAUGUUUCAUUAAGGCUAUUAUUCUCUUCCAUAAUGGCAGAAAUCUACAACAAGACAAACAUCAAGCUCAGUAUGUUACAAGAAAAAUAAAUCAUCAUAUCAUUGAUUAGCAUAGUAUUUUAAGAUUGGGCUGCAAACCUGAGUUUGUAGUCCCUGCACUUCAGAGGUAAGCUUCUGCGUCAAAUCUUCUAUAGCCUUCUUUGAGGCAUGAAGCUGUUCAACAGUUUCAUCCUUCUCAACAAUUGUCGCAGAAAGUUUUGCUUGCAAAUCGCUCAGUUUAGUCUCGUACAAUGCCAGAUCCUCAGUUAGCUUCAAAUUUGUCUCAACCAACCCUCCACUUUCUCUUUCAAAGUGACCUGACCUUGUUUGCAGCUCCUCAACAGUACUUUCUAGAUUCUUUAACUUCAAUAAAGUCUCUUCCAGCUCAAAUUUUCGAGUUUCUGCAACUGUGGAUGCCUCCCGAGCCUGCUCUUCGUACGAUUUUAUUUGGCCUUCAAGCACACUUACCUUUUCGUUCAAGUUAUUAGCUUCAAUAUCUCUUUGAGUGAAUCUUUGGAUGGCUUCAUGCAAUUGAAUUUCUGCUUCUUUGACACAAGCUUCAGUUGCAGAGUGAAGUUCUAAUGCUCUUGAGUGCUGCUCUGUUAACUCUGUAACUGUGUUCAUAUGAGAAGCAAGUUGUUGGCCGGUCGCUUCCUUUUCUGAAAUAGCAGAGUCCAAUAAUUCCUGAAGUUCAGCAACCUUGCUCUUGAGCUGAUUGUUUGUCUCAACCAGGAGUUCAUUCUCCGAGGAAGAGUUGUUAGCUUUAUUGUUUGCUUCAACUACCUGCCUUUGCAGUUCUUCGUUUGUGCUUUCUAAAGAAGUCACUUUAAUAAAAUAUGAAUCCAAUUCCUCCUUCAACAAUGCAUAUUUUCCGGCUCCUUCAGCUAGCUGCUCUUCGUACAUCUUUACUUGACCUUCAAGAUUCUUUAGUUUCUCAGAAAACGAUUUAGCCUCUGAAUCCCUGCUGGUUAUAUUUGCUAAGGCAUCUUGGAGUUUCAUUUCUGACUCCCUCAUUAGUGAUUCGUGCAAUGAUUCAAGCUCUGAGUUUCUUGAAGUAGCUUGCUCUAGUACCCUAGUUUGUUGCUCUAGUUGCUCUUCGGCAGAUUUAAGCUUCUCCAUUACAUCAGUUUCUCUCAAUCCAGCAGCCUUAAGAUCUUUCUCAAUGCUCUCCAGCCUCUCUUGUGUCAUAUUUAAAUCAUUUCUCAGGAGUUCCAGCAGAUUUUCAGCCUCGGCAAGUUUUUCAUUGUAACCAUUUGAUGUAUCUUGCAACUUUCUCUUCUCAUCCGCAGCUGCAUUUAAGGAUUCUGUCAAUUCCCUCUCCUUAUCAUUGGCCAUUUGCAGUGCCACUUCAAGGCUUGAUGUUCUGGCCUGAAAUGCCUCAAGUUCUGAUGCAAGUUCACACACAUUGUCAGAGUAUUGCUUGGAUCCCGCUUCUGCUUCCUCACAUUUCUUCUCUAAUGUGCUUAUUUGUUCUUCAAGUUCCUGAAUCCUAUACUUCUCAGCCUCAAGUAACAGCUCUAACUCAUUCACCCUUUUUCCAGUACCCUCUAAUUUGGAAUGAGAUGUCUGGAACAAAUCUUCUAGCUCAAUGCUGCGCUGAUGACUCAUGUUGGCUCGGUCCUCAUCUUCAGCACUUCUCUCCUUGGUAAUCCUCAGCUCCUCCUCAAGCUCUGAACUCCGUGUGUUUGACUGGUUUAGGGUUAAUUCCAGCUGGGUUAUCUUAUCCUUGCAAUCAUUCAUUUGAUCAUUCAACUGUUUCUUUUCCUCCUCAACUUCCUUCAAUGCAGUACUGAGUUGAGAUAAUUUCUCAGAGAAUUCCCUCACUUCUCUCUCAGAAUCACUGCUUUUAAGUUCAACAAGGUUCAACUGUUGCUCAAGCUCCACGCUCCGCUGUUCUGCUGCUAUAAAGCGUGGUUCAAGAUCUCUCAAUUGGGACUUUGCCUCUUCUGCUGCUUCAUUGGAAGCUCUGAUUAUAUCCUCAAGCUCAAGAUUCCUCUGAGAAGCAGUUGCCGCUGCAGCUCCUGUCUCAUUAUGUUGCUCUUCCAGAGACUUCAGCUUCAGCUCAAGCUCCGCAUUAUUAGCCAAAGCUUGAGACAGAAGAGAAUCUGUUUUACAGAAAUUCUCAUCUGAAUUCCUCAAUUUUUCCUCAAGUUCACUGCAUAACUCCUUCAUCCGUGCUAUGUUACCAGUAAGAUCUGCCAUGGCUGCUUCAAGAGCUUCUUUCUCUUUACUUACUUUAUCUAAUUCUUCAUUUACAUUUGAGACCUGCGCUUCUUGGGUUUUCAACACAGCUUCAACUGAUUCCCGUGCAUUGACUUCCUCUUGCAACUUCAACUUGAUAUCUUCCAGCUCAGAAACUUUAGCGUGAAGAUUUUCUUUAGCGUCUGCAAGUAGAUUAUCAAGGGCGGAAAUUUCCUCUUUUGCCUGAGAUUCUGAUGCCUUUAUGAGGUCCAAUUCCUGAGUUAGAGUAGUAAUAAGAGCUUCCUUUGAAGAGACUCUUUGCUCCAAGUCCAAGAGUUGUAAUUUUGAAAGUCCCAACUCUUCCUGAAUUGCAGAAAUUUCUGUGUUGCUUCUCUUAAGCUCUUCUUCAACUUUCUCCUUCUCAGAAAUCUUUUCAUUCAGGCCCUUGAGCUCUUCUUGUAGGGAAGCCAUCUGACCCUCCACUUCUUUUGCACUCACAUUCGCAGUUUCAAGCAGCCUCUCAAACUCCAACGCCCUCUGUGACUCAGAUUCUGCAUGUGAACCACUUUGCUUGUGCAACUCCUCAAACUUCCUAGCCUCAUCCACAGAACACUGUAACUUAUGCUCCAACUCCUGCAAUCUUGACCUUGAUUGUUCAAUUUCAAGACUUAGACCAUCAAAUGCUUCUUUCACUUCAGCCAGCUCCUUACGCUUUGCUUCUUCAGCUUGCAAAGCCUCUUUCAUAGCAUUGAGCUCUGAAUUAUAUUUCUCCCCAGCUUCAACAAUCUGCUCUUGGAAUUUCUUUUGACCAAUUUCAAGCUCUUCGCAUUUCUUUCCACUUUCCUCCAGCUUCUCUUUUGUAAUUAAAACAUCAUCCUGUAGUCUUGCAUUUUCAAUUUCAGCAUUCUUCAAUGCAGUAGCUGCUCUCUCCAAUUCAAUCUCAAGUUCUUUCACCUUCUCAUUGGCUUCCAACAAUUCUCUGCUCGAACUGCUCGAGCUUCUAUCAACUACAGAUGGCUUGUCGUCCUCCUCUGCAGCUGCUGGCUCAGCCAUAUGAGAAACUUCCUUCACAUCCAAUGCUUCCUUCUCCACUUUUAUAAAUUCUGCAUCCAAUGCAUUUUCUUCCUCUUCUUUCUUUCCUUCUUUUCCUACUUGUGGCAAGCCUCCAUUUGUUUCCUGCAACACGAGAAAUUAUCAAAAUCAAUUAUCUACAGUUGAAAAAUCCUGAAUAAAAUAAAAUCCUGAAUGUUUGUUUGCGUUUUUUUUUUUUUUUUUUUUUAAACCUUAAUUGGAUCAAUGUCCUCAACUGCUUUCAUCACAGGGACUUCUGAACCCACUUGCGUUUCUUCUUCCAUGUUUAAAUCAAUCUUCAACAGACCAGUCUCUCUGUGAUUUUGACAAGAUUAUAGUCACAUUACACAUGUUAGAACAAAGGACAUAAAUAAUAGCACGUGCAAUUGGGUGUCUGAAAAAUGCAUACAGAAUAACAGAACAUUCAUCAUGCACCUAACCGGACCUAUUUGAGGCUAUUUCCAAAGACAAUGUCAGCAUAACUCAACCCAUUUUACGCCACCAAAAAUAAAAAAUAAAAAAUAAAAACUAAGGAAAUUUUUUUUUUACCCUUUUCCUUGAUUGACCGAUUGGAGUUUAUGUUCUCCUGACCAUGACAUCAUUCAUCAUCAAUACAAUAUACACAUACCAAGUAAAAAAUGUACAUAUUUAUAUAUGUGAAAAUGUACAUCAUUCGAACUACGCAUCUUUGUAUAUUGUAUUGAUGAUGAUAAUUAUGUAAUUUGAUUCUUUAUGUGAGACAACAAUAGUAGCUCGUUCUACAAGGCCUAAUCGAAUGAUAGGCCCAACUACAAUCUUGAAAUUCUAGGUGCCCAACAACAGGCUGUUUUAUUUUGUCUUCUAAUUUUAACCUGACGUGGGAAGUUUUGGCAUCUUUUCCUAACCUUGAUUCCCUGUUUUUAAUGUCUGUUAAAUUAAUUCAAAUAUUCAAUCAUCUGUAUAACUUUAAGCUAGUCACCAAAUUUGGAAACUUUUAUGGACUCACAAAUGAAAAAACUGAAAAAAAUUAGAAGCUUUAUGGGUUGUAGUUUCCGGCUGCCAAUUAAGGAAUCGUAAGAUUUAGGGAACCCGGCGGGUCAACAAGCAGCCCAAUUAAUGAUUGCCCUAGACCCGGCCCAAAUUUCCCAUGGAUGCCCCACCAUUGACAAAGACAAUGUAUUAUAUAAGAAAAGGACUUGACUAGCUUACAGUAUCUGUAAGCUACAGACUGCAGCAUCAGCCGUUGGAUGUGGUUGGAUGUGGAGUGAGAAACUAAACAAUAGAAGAUCGGAUGGUGGGAUGACGGGAGAUGUUUGUUACAGAAUCUGUACCAUAGACAGGUCCAUAAGAAAAAGAAAAAUAUUUCUUCAGUGACAUGUAUUAUUAAUGGGUCCAAGGGUCAAUAGGCUUUUAGUUGCUUGUACAAUUUUUUACUUACUAGAUCGAUCUUAAGACUUAACCGCGAAAAAAUUUAUUAAUCUAAUGAUAUUAGAAAAAUAUAACUUGUGUACAAAUCUAGGGAUAUUACGGAUCCUACUCAUGGAAGAAUAAUUCCUGGGGAUGAAUAAUUGGUCCAUAUGAUCUAAAAUCACAUGAGAGUUGGCAUUAAUCGAUCCUGUGACAACGCAUGCCAUGUGAGACCAUUUUACUUGGUGGGUCCCAAUUCCUCCUACGGGGACGUACAAGACAAAAUUACCUAUCAAUCCCAAAUUCCAAACUGAUUCAUGAUUCAAUUCAUCACCAUAAAUCAAGAAAAGAAAAACAAUACUCCGGUUAUGGGGCUUUCGGCCAUUCCAUCAUCAACCCAAUUUACUAAGAUUAGAAUUGCCUUUUUAUUUCUUUUCAAAAAAAAAAAAAAAAAUUGCCGUUUAUUUUGCAAAUACACCAAAAAGAAAGCAAGAGAAAUUGGAGCCCACUAAAGUAGGCAAGCUAUCCCUUUACCUUAUUUUUAGUUCAAUUUCAAAGUUGAAGCGCGUGACAGCUCAAAUUUGUACGCUUUUUAUAUGGUUAUUAUCAAGCUUUCUAUUUUCCCAUUAACAACGUAAUUAUCAUUUUCUAAGGUUAUGUUACGGCACGAAGAUCCCGUAACAUUGCAAACACGAUAGUUUAUAAUAUAAAAUAUCACACUUGUAAUUAUAAAAAAAUAAUUUAUAUCAAACUUAUAAUAUUAAUUAAAAAUUAUAUAAUUACAAGCUUCAGUAUAUUUUUCCUCUAUUUAUUCAUUUAUUUUAUAAUUUGUAAUUUGUUUUUUUCUUCUUGCACUGCACUAAUUAGCCUGAGCUACAAAUUGCUUAUGCUUGCAAACAAAAUAAAUAGAUAAACGAAGCAUAUGUUUUAGAUCACAUUAAGUUAAGAUCAUAAGUUACAUUUCAAAGUCUUAAAACUAAAAGAUAAAACCAUCCGAUUGCUAUCGCUAAUCCUCGCUCACUUUUCAGCAAGAAAAAUAGUUUUAAACUGAGAAACAAUUUUUUUUUUUAAAAAAAAAAUUGCUUUGAAUGAUAUUGACCGAUCGAUCGAUCGAUCGAUCGAGUGAACGAAUCGAAGAUCAAAAUAUGUUAUGUUCGUCCGAUCAAAUAAUAUCUACAUAACAAACCGAAGAACUAAUUCUAAAACGUUUCUUCAUUUCUGUUUCCAAAUUACACUUCCGAAAAUACAGUGAAAUCAAUUUAAAAAAAAAAAUUGGAAGCAUCAAAAUCUAAACUCACGAAGUGGAUCACUGGUUUCAAUCAUCAUAUAAUCAAACGAAGAUCACAGCUUAAUAUUUCAUCGCAACACAUAAAACAGAAACAAAAACGACAAAGCAAUAAAACUAAAACUGAAAGCAGAGAAAACAGAGGCAACAGUUUCAGAAAACAGAGUGAAGACAGCUCAGACUCAAUCAAGCAUAUAAAUAAAUAAAUAAAUAAAUGGAAGGAAGGAAUAAGAGAUUGCUUGCCUGAAUGGAAAGUCGAUUUGCUUUGCGAUUAAGAGAGCUUUAAUUUGUUCGUUUUAUUUUUAUUUUGUUUUAUUUUGAUUUUUGGAAGUCAAGAAGAAUGAAGAAAACGGGAGAGAGACAAGAGGAAGUUUCUUUGUUUUUAUAAUAAAAGGUGGGAGGAGAAGGAGGAUGCUCUGGCUUUAUGAAAGAGUGACGUGGGACACUGGUGGGGCCCACUUAAUAGGCAAUUGGACAAUGGGCGGGUUUAAACGCUGCCGCUUUGUCAUGCCCGCAGUAUUUGCUGCAUGAUUUGGCUUUAAUUACAGUCUUAGCCCCCUCUUUUUUUUUUUGCCAUUAAACAACAAUUUCAAAAUCAAAUUAUGCUUUUGCAACCAAUAAAUAGAAAUUUUUUAGAAUUUGGGGAAUUUUAUGAUUAAAUUAAAAAGUAACAUUGCAACUACUGCAUUUAUGUCCGAACCCAUCCAGGUGAGUAUGUUCGUAUACUAAGGUUCUUUUUAAUACAACUUUUCAAGUAAAACUUAAUUAAGUAGAGUUUUUGUUAGUAGAGCUUUUAUAAAUAGAGUUUUUAUUAAAAAAAAUUUAAUUGUUUGGUUGCCAAUAAUAACUUUUAUUAAAAUUUUAUGAAAUUACUUUAAUAGUAAAUUUUUUAAAGUUAUGUUAUCAAAAUAAUAAAAUAAGAUUGUCAAAUAAGUAGAGAAUAUUUGAGAUAUUUUAAUAUUUUAAAAAAACUUUUCAACCUCUACUCCUACAAACCCAAAAUUUAAGCUUUUAUCAGUAGAAGUAAAAUAGUUUAUUUAAUCUUUAAAAGUUUUAUUAGAAAAACAACCAAAUAACAACAAAAAUUAUUACAAGAUCUUAUGAAAUUAAAUAAACACUUAUAACCAUUAAAUAAAUCAUACCAAAUAAGCAUUAAAUCUCUUAAUUCAACUCAAUAUAUUUUAUCAUUUGAACUAAUUAACACCUGUAUUGGAACUUUUGACUUUUUCAUUUAAAAUAAUACGUAAAUUUAUUUAAAAUUAACUGAGUAAUGAUGAAAUGGUAUGGUAAUUACUAUAACAAUAUCAAAUCAAUUGUUAUAUCAUAUACAACUGUAAAACAGCUUGAAAACAAUAUUACUCUUAAAUAAAAUGAUUAAAAUUUCUUUCACAAUCAAUGAUGAUCAAACUCAUAAUGAGCAUGCUCAAGUAAAAUAUUUCCUUCCAGACCAUCUACUUCCAGAAAGGUCCUUGAUUCCAUUAGAUUAAAAAAUAAGCUAAGCAUCAAGCAAUGUGUUGCAGAUCAUUUUAAUGCUUUCCAAUUACUUAAUUUACUUUCUUGAAUUAGUCUUUUUUUUUUUUUUUACCAAAUUCAAAGAGAGAAACGGCGUUCCGGAAAUUGGAGACAUAAUAAAGGAUUAAUUGGUCAUUUAACAACUUAAAAGCAAUUCCCUCUUUUUGGUCUCAAAGUGGCGGCCACAGCCGACCGACCAAACCGCCCUCCAACGCGACCCUGUCUUUAUGUGGGUGACGAUAAUACAGACCAUCAGCCGCUGGCUCUUUCUCCAUUUUUGGAAUCAAUCUCUUUCAUGCUUUCUUCAAAUUAGCAAAACUAAUAAACUAUUCGCAAAAUUAGCAAAACAUUUUACUUUAGUUGCAUUCAGCUCCCCCUCAACCAACUAACAUUAUUUGCAUUAAACCCCAUGACGAUUAUAAUUUACAAAUGCAUUUAUGUUUGUAGCAUAAACUUGAUGUGUAUUGGUACAAACUUCGUGAUCUUUGUAGCGGUGAACAAAUUUUCUCACUGCUCAAAUGAACCAAAUUAAAAUUAGCUUGAUUUCAUUAAAAUUGAAAUUAUAAUCAUUUCAUUAAAAUUCACUUCACUGUUAGUAUUUGAUUUUCUUUGAUAAUUCAAUUAAUGGUGAAUUGCUCGGUCGUUGAUUUGAUUUUCUUCAAAACUAAAUUGAAAUUCACUUUGUCCAUCCAUAAGUCUUUAUUACGGAGUUUCAAUAAUUUUGAAGGAAACAAAUGUUAUCAAAUUAAAUUGUAUUUAUGUUAUUAAAAAAUCUCAAUGGUGUUAUUUUUUUUUAAAAAAGGAAAUCAUAUGUUAUAAAUUUUUCCUAAAAAAUCUAUUUUAAAUUGUGGAUAAUCAAUCAAAUUGUUAAUUUUUUUAAAAGUUUUUAAUAAAGUUUACUUAACACAAAAUUGCAUAAGGUUACGAUAUUUCUAGAAUUAUAGAUGCCAUCAUUUUCUUGCUGAAGAGGCGUGAGUGGUGGUAGGUGGGAUAUAAAAUGAAACCACUUUCUAAUUUAAGGGACUAUAAUUAGAGAUAAUCAAAUAUUUGGACCAAUCAAUGAUCAUAUUUAUCUUUUGUGAAAGAAUUAUGAUUUGACUAUAUAUUGCUGAAAAAUCAUGGCCGCCCGAAGCAACAUUUGACUAUUAGUUUAAGACUCAACUAAAUUCGACGCACCUACUCAAAACGGUCAACCGUGUGCUAAUUCUACUUGUGUGGCCAAUCAAUUGGUUUAUAUAUAAAAUUAGUUUACAAGUUAUUCUUUUUAAAUGAUUUCCUUAAUUCUAAAAUCAGAGAAUCUACCCUUUAAAUAUAUAUAUAUACAUAGAGGGAGAGAGAGAAUUCAUUUGGAAAAUUUUUUUUUUUUUUAAAUUCAAAAACUAACAAUUAAAAAAAAAGGGUCUACAAACAAUAAAAUAAAGCUACGUUUGACUUCUAUCUAGUAAUUAUAAUUUUUAGGUUAAGCGAUUCAACUAAAGUUUAAAACUUUCGCACUCACUUUGUUCAGAUUUACUUGGGUUUGUAUUUACUUAAACGGGCUGGAAAUGUGAGAGGGCUACGGCCCAUAAAAGUAAUUGGGAAGGCCCAACAGAGCCUAAGAGGCUCAAUAUUGACGAUUAUGGGACUGAAAAUUGGAAUAAUUACCAUUACACUCGUUAUCCGUUUUGCGUGAAAUCUAUGUAAGCUAAAGCUGACACACACACGAUGACACGACGAUCAUAGAGACGAAAGUAUUAGUUUGAAAAAAAAAAAAAAAAAGUUCAAAGAGAAGAAGAAAAAGGAAAAGAAAUGGAUGGAAUGAUGCAAAUGGGGCUUCCAGUUCUGGGAAUUGUGGCAGCUGCUGCUGUUACUUUCUAUGCUGUAAGCUUUGCCGAGCUUAGAGAGGUAACCAUAUUUUAUUUAUUUAUUUAUUUUACUUUAAUUAUCUGUUUUAUUAAUUUACUCUGAACUAUUAUUUUAUCGUGGGUUUGUGUGUGUAGAAAUCUUUUAGAGAUUUAGAUGAUGAGUCGGAGGAUGAAAAUGGAGGAGGAUUCAAGAAAUCUUUAAGUUCUAGAGAAAGGAGGUCCAGAAGGAAAGCUGACAAACAAGCUAAAAGUUGAUUCAGUAGAAGCACUUUUGCACUUUCAUUGAUGCAUCUUUUAAACUUCAUUGGCAUUCAAAUGCUUUUGCUUUUGCUUUUCUUUAUAAAUUAUAUAUAUUUUUUAAUGAAACCUGAGUUGAUAUUUCAAAAGGUGAUUCAUUCCAUUACGGCUCAAUAUGAGACUAACGUCCCAGGUUUACAAAAAUAAUCACCAAUGCCCCUAUCUUUAGACAAUCGUUUGGCUCUCUUAAUGGUACCCUUGUGAGUUGCGACAUAUUUCUGUUUAAUUUUUAAAACUGUUUCAAAAGUAUACUUUGAUGUUUAUUACAAACAUGCCACACAAUGUUUUUUUAUUCAGAAGUAAUAGUGGUCUAAUCACAAACAUACCCCAAGAUAAAAUUUGAUACUGAGCAAGUUUUUUUCUUGCUCGCAGUCACAGCAUUUUAAAUUUUUCCUGAGUAAUGGCAAGAAUUGAUAUGAAAACUGUAAAUUAGUACCAUAACACUUUUGUUUUCCAUGCAAAUGUUGCUCUUAAGUCAAUAAUCAGCUCAGUAACAUCAACACCGAAUAAGGAGACAAGAGGAGCACCCAAUUCUGAGUUUGGAUAUUUGAGCUAUGCGAUAAUAUGUAGGUAGUGUUACAGAAAAUUAUUUCAAUAGAGGAAAAAAAGUAAGAUAGAGAGAAUAAAUAGAAAUAGACUGCCACAAUCAUGAUAGGCAAAUGCUUUAUUAAAGCAUCCGAAAUUUCAAACGUCACAGAAGAGGAAAAAAAUAUUUGCUUUACAUACAAGUCUUACAGUUUUUUUUCAUCAAUAUCAGCCAUUAUGAUUUACUGCUGGGACUUGAGUUCCUUCACCCUCUCCUCGGUUGCCUUCAGUGCCUUCCCAUAUUUGCUUAUUAACUGAAAGAUCAUAGUAAUUUCAAACAUCAAUUGCCAUCAAUCAUCGUUUACUUAUGGGAAAGGCAAAGAGAAGGUGAAUUAAAAAUUUGUUAAAACCUACCUCAUCAACCUCUGCAGGGGACAUUAUAAAUGGAGGAGACAUCAUAAUGUUGUCACCUGAAACACGUACUAACAUUCCGUGCUUUUCGCACUGUGCUCCAAAAUAUGCACCUAUCCCUGUAAUUCCGAUGAUCAAAUACCAUUAACAACGAAAAUAAGAUGUCAAAUCCAGAAGACACAUGCAUGCAGACAGCUUGAUGUGCAAUUGUGCAUGCACGUAUGGUGUGUUUGUGGGGAGUGUGUGAGUGUUAUUCGUAUAUGCAUGCGCAUUCGUGGUGUGCUUCAUUUGGAGACUAUACGAUAAAAAGGUGAGGAACUUGCCCCAUUCAGGAGGGAACGGUUCAUUUGGAGACUUGUUGUCUGCAAACUCUGUACCAAGAAUCAAACCAGUGCCCCGAAUCUGCAGAAUCAGAUGAGUACAACAGAAAUAAAUAUCUCAUAUUAUGAAUUAUUGCCAACCAAUAUCAAUUCAAGUGAAUGAAAUAAUACCUCUCCAAUGAUGGGACUAUCAGAAAAGGCUUUUACACCAUCUUGAAACUUUGGCGCUAUCUUAUUUACUUGCUCAACAAUAUUUCUUUCCCUGCAAAGAUAUAAGAGAAAUUUCACUUAUUUCUAUAUGUAAUACGAGUGGAUCUGGAUAAUUUAUAUCAAGAGUCGUGACAACUUCAGUCCAUUAAUUAAUUUUUUUCCCAUCUAGUUCCUAUAUGUAAGAAGUGUAAUCAGAUGAUCCUCAUCAGGUCAACCUACUUUUUUAAUUUUCUACAGACGAUCAUAAAAAAACAUACUUGUAAAUCUUAAGCGCUUCGAUGGCAACAGCACAGGAAACAGGAUGCCCAGAAUAAGUAAAUCCAUGAGAGAAAGAACCUGACAAAAAAGGAAUUUGACGGAUCAUUCAAUGAUAAUAACCUCUUGACACUUUUUUGAUGAGCAUGAUUAUCAUACCAAGUGUGUUGCUUUGAGAGUGAAUGACUUCUGAAACUUCGGGACUCACAAGAAUAGCUCCAAUGGGCAUAUAUGCUGAAGAAAGGGCCUAUAAAACAUAAUAUGAGGACAGUGCCCACAGAUGAAAACUGGCUCGGGAUAUGAGAUAGCACUUGUAUAUCCAAUUUUACCUUUGCGAAGGACACAAGAUCUGGUUUAAUGCUGUAUUUGUCACAACCAAACAUUGUGCCAAGUCUUCCAAAUGCACAAAUUACCUAGAAUAUACAAAACUGAAGAAAGUGAGUCUUUAAUUAAAAAAAUAUUAAUAAAAGCUUGAUCAUAACAUAAUAUCAUUAGUAACAUUAGAUUGAAUAGGAUGUACCUCAUCUGCUAUAAAAAGGAUAUCAUAUUUUUUUACAACAGCUUGAACCUGCAUCAAAUUUGAAAUUCUAUAAUUAUAAAAAUGAGUGGUAGAGGGUAGAUAUUUGUCCUACGCUGCAUACCUUUUCUCUUUUGCCAAAAAAAGGGUCAAAAUGCAAAAGUCAUGUCAUAUUGUAUGAAAAAAAAAAUUUUUUAUGGAACAAUGGAAAUUCAGUGGUCAACUUGUACAUUUGUCAACCAACAUAUUUCAUAAUCAAAUUGGUGAACUUUCCGAUGGAUGAUUCUCUAGUUAAGACGUCCGUAUAAUACCAAAUGCAGGCUUGUACAUGUUUGUUAGCAAAUUACUAUCUCACCUUCUCAAAAUAAGUCGCAGGAGGAGGUAUCACGCCUCCUGCCCCCAUGACAGGCUCAGCAAUAAAUGCAGCAAUCUGAAAUAAACAACCGUACAAGUUACUAACUGAGCAACCUUUCAAUUGUUAAAAUUGUUUUCACAAGCAAGCUACAUGCAAACUAAAUUACCGUCUCUGGUCCCUCUUUGAGAAUGAGAUCCUCUAAAUUGUUGGCUAAUCUGGUUGAAUACUCCUCCUCUGUCUCACCUGAAACAAGAAAUUAACAUGCAUAUAUUUAGUAAAAUCAUAAGAAGUCAUUGAAAAUAUAUAAACAGGAGUGAGCAAAAACCUGGAUGAGCGUAGCGCCAAUAAUGAGGGCAGUCAGUGUGCAAUACGAAGGGAGCCGGCAGAUCAAAUUUUUGGUGCAAAGCUGGAAGACUGCAAUGAUAAAUCACUUGUCAAAGGACUCACAGGCUGUAUACAAUAGGUCAUUAGGUAUCACAAUUUUCACUUGUUUAACUUUUCCUACCCAGAAAGACUAGCUGCAAUCAAAGUUGAACCAUGGUACCUGAAAAAAAGUCAACAAUAGCAAAUAAUUAUUCAGGAAUAAUAUGAAAUUAUUGUAAAUCACAUCAAAAUUAGUGGUGAAAUUUACGAUUUUUGUCGUGCGAUAAAUUUCUUUUUGUUUGGUCUUCCAAGAGCAUUAUUGUAAUACCAAACCAGCUUGACCUACAACAUAAAUUAAGACAAGAAGGUAAAACAUCAAAAUUGUCAUCUCCAAUGUCAUUUAAUUGUGACCACAGAACCAGCUUCAAGUAAGAAUGUCCCCCCCUCCCCCCCCCCCCCCCCCCCCCCCCCCCCUCCCCACCCAAAAAAAAAAAAAAAACUUUGUAUUGAGGACAUGAUAAAACAGAAAACAGUGGCAGGUGACCUUUCCUCUGUUCACUUCUUGAUCUUAAUCAUAGUCCAUCACUGUUGACAAAUUCUAAUUCAUUCUAUAUAAUCAUAAUCUCGCUACGAGAAAAUACAAGACAGAUUUCACUGCAGCUUCUUACAUGAGAUAUCUUUAAACUGUCUGCAUGUAAAAAGCAACUGAGAGAGGGAACACUAAGUGCAUGGUAAGUAUACCUGAGUGUCAUUGGCUUCUGAUCCACUAUUAGUAAAGAAAACCUUGGCCAUUUUACUUGCGGUAAACAUUUCUAAAAGCUCCUUUGCAAGAUCCUGUGAGAUCAAAGUUAAUUCAGUUGCCAGUAGAAAGUAACAGUGCAGAUGUCUUCAGAAUAUAUUGAAGCAAGAAAAACAGCAUCAGCUGCUAUAUUUGGUAGGUAGAAAAUGAGAAAAUGAGAGAAUGAUAUAAAGAAAGUAGUAUUGCACAAGAAAGAUGUAAUCCCAGUAUUUGCUUAUAACAAAAUCGAAUCUGUGCAUACCAGAGAAGGUUUUGUGGUACGAUUCCAGAAGGAGUGGUAAAAUGGCAGGGUAUUCAAUUGUGCAGUAGCAGCGGCCACAAGGCGAGGUUCACUCCCCCCUGAAAAUUUCAAUAUUGAAUAGUUAGUUGAAGUAAUGCUCUUUUCGCGAUAGACAAACACAUACUAGAGUUUAGGUAUAUAUAUGUGUCCAUAUAUUGUAUAUAUAUCUCUGAUGUUAAAUAUGUAAUUUUACUACAUUGGAUGAGUGUAAAUUGGUUUUUUCGAAUAUCAUAAAUUUAAGGAGUCUCGGCUUAUAGAAUCUUGCUCUAGGGAGCUAACUCUAGUACUCAAAUAAAAUAAAUUAGUAAUGGUAAAGUCUAAGCAUAACGAGAAAGGAACUAGAUGUAAGCAUUGAAUCUAAUCCUGUGCUUCCCCUGAAGCCAGUCCAACUGAUUCAAGCAGAUUGAUACACAUUCGACAAGAGUGUGAAGAUAUUAUGUGAUGCUGAAAAAAAGGUUGGUGCCGGUGUUAGAGGAGAGAGAGGAAGGUCUAGAUUGAAAUGCAAGACAUGUAAGAAAAUACCUAGGGCUGUGCACCAUAGGCCAGCAAGAGAAUCAAGAUACUUCUUGCCAUUGACGUCGUAAACAUAACUACCCUACAUCAUCGAUGAAGUUGGAGUUAAUCACAUAGUUGAGGAGCAUAUAAGCAAUAGAAUACGAGAAUAGACUUUGGUCACAAAAUACUAUUGCACAAUUUAAAUAACAGGUGCCUAUGAGCUAUACCUCAGACUUUUCUAUAACCAGUGGAUGCACAUCAGUACUCUGCCACCCAGCUGUGAAAGGUGCCAGCAUAUCAUGCCCCUUAAACCUGAGAUCAUGAACAUAUUUCAGCAACCAAAUAUUUAUUCAAAUUCACUGUCAUGCCUGCAUAUAAAAAUCUACAUAGUACUACAUACAGAUUGGACUCACCAAGAUAUUGCUUUAUUACUAUACUGAGCUUUAUAUCACAAAUUACAACCAUACAAUUCUUCCACCAAAAAACACACAACAGCAGAAGCACGCACAUAGAAGCACCACAUACCCCUUAGUGGUUGAAUCUUCCUUUUGCAAAGACGCAUCUGUACCAUAGAACCUGGCAAGCAAAGGGAUUUGAUACAAGUUCUCCGACAACCUUUUGGAAGCAGAAAAAUGCUUUGUAAAUGAACCAGUCUGUAAACCAAAGGAAAAAGAAAAAAAAAACUAUUACGAUUAAAAAAGUAAUAGUGAAUAGUUUGUACUGCUCCAAUAAGUUUUUUAUGUUAUAUAUGCACAGAUUCAUCUUCAUGAAUGAUAUUUAUAAUAUAUAUGACAAAAGGUGAAGAUUCUCUUCACUUUUUAGAAUGACAUGGGAAAAGUGAACCUUUUAGAAUGACAAAAGAUUAAGGGAGAAAAAAAAAAAAAAACUGAUCAGCCCUAUUAGUAAAUUAAGAAACAAAAUAUAGUAACAAAACAACAUUAGUAACCCAAAAAGAAAAAAAAAAUCUGAAUUUGAAAAGUUCCCAGUACAUAUAUUGAUCUAUAUAAAGCAAGAAUAUGAAGUCCUCAGAGACAGAAAAGCAGUCUAAAACUGAAAAAUAGGCCAAAUGGGUGAUAGGAUUUGUUUAUAGUUUUGCAAACAAGUAGCUCCUAGUGAAGAUCAAAAGAUGUAAAAUACAUAAUAUUCAUUAAAAAAAAAAAAAGACAUGGUGGUAACUGAUAAAAUUCAAUUUUCGCGAUGAAAGUGAAACCUGGGAUUUGAGGGAUGAUUGAAGGAGCUUGCUGGUCACCAUUUUUGCUCUUAACAUGCAACAAAGGCGGAGUUUUUUUUUUUUUUUUUUUUUCCCGGUUUUAGCUGUUCUUAUUGCUCAGACACAAGCAAUAGCUGAAAGAGUGAGAAUCUGAGACGACUCCUUAAUGAAUCAUUAUAUGGUUUGAAUAAGGAUUUAAUUAAAUUUUAUGAAUCAUUAUUUGGUUUAAAAAAGGAUUUAAUGAAAUUAAAUUUGAUUGCGUUAUUUCAGUUUAACCGCGGUUCGAUUGGAGUGACAGUUACCACUUUAACUACACUACAUAUUGGUCCCACCACUAUAUCCAGAUUAAGAGAUGACGAAAUCAACGUUUUUUUUUUAUAUAUUUUAAUUUUAAACUAGAGACAAAGUUAGGGUGCAUUUGGUAUCGGCUUUCACUUGUGUUUUUAUUUUUGUUUUAUAAAUUGGAAAUAAUCAGUUUUUAAUGAAAAUAAAAAUAUAUUUGGUUGAUUGUUUCUAAAAUGAUAUUUAAAAAUAAAAAGUAAAAAUUUAGAAAAGUGAAAAAAAGUAUUAUAAUUAAAAAUUUUAAUAAACUAAAUUUUUUAGACAUUAUAUAUUUUAAUUUUUGUUAUCGUAAAUUUUUUAUUUUAUAAAAAUGAGACAAAAUAUAUAUUUUUUAGAGAAUAUAAAAUUUCUUUAAAAAUUGUUAAAAUAAUACAUUAUCAUUAAUUCAUUAUAGCAAAAAGAAAAAAAAUUAAAAUGAUUAAAUAAAUAAUAAAAUUAUAUUAUAAAGUAAAUAUUGGUUGUGGAUCCACAUGAUAAGGGAUAGGUUUUUUAUUUUCUUAUUAUGCAAGUAAGUAGGAUUGUGGAAACUCAUUUGAAGAAUGAAAAUUGAAAAACAUCAAUUUUUUGUUCUCUACUUUAGAGAAUGAGAACAAAUCAAUUUCUAUGAUCAGGCUACAGUGCAACUGUGGCACCGUGCCACAGUUACAUCUAGCCGUUGAUGCAAUUGGAUUGGUGGAGUCCACUAACAUCCAACGGCUAGAUGCAACUGUGGCACGGUGCCACAGUUGCACCUAAGGUUUCCCCCAAUUUCUAAUAGAAAUAAUAAAUAUUAUUUAAAAAUUAGUGAACCAAACAAAUUUUAGGACAAAAACAAUAGUAACAUAUUCAACGUAGCAGUACGGACACAGAGUAAUUAAUGACUCUAUUAGCUGAGCUGAGGGACAAAACUAUGAUUGUAAUUUAUAUUUUAAAUAGCAUUUUUGUUUAGUUAACUUUCUGAAAAAAUUAUGUCUCAUCAAGAAUUUUGUAAAUGCUAAUUGCAAAAAUUUAUUCCUCACACACACACACAACUCAUCUUUUAUAAGCAUCAUCAGUCAUCACAUAGGGAUAAGAAAAGAAAAAGUCAACCCUAAAAAUACAAAUUAUAAAUUCACAUGAUUACUUAUUAUAUAUCACACAAAUUAAUCAAAUUUAUUUGCUUUUACACUCAAUGUGAUACAAAAAACAUUUUAGUUUAGUUUAUGGCGAUCACAAAAUUAAUUAAUGUAAUUGCUAAUCCCAACUGUACAUGCUUAAUCAAUACGAUCACCGUGUUGACGAGCAAGGACAAUAACAAAUUGAACACUUCUUUUUUGCCUUUAUUUGAAGAAAACAAAUUGAUAUCUUAAACCACACACACAGUAAAAAAAAGGACUUGAUGAUCUUGAUAAUGUAAUUUAAUGUAUGUAAACUAGUCAUUCGAUCAUAGGAUAAUAUUAUUCAAAGCAAAUGCAGAUGAUCUGGAAACGACACUAUUCAAUGUUAACAGAGAAAUGUAACAGCUACCCAUCUAGAACAGUGGAAUAAGAGACUUGCAUUAAGAAUCAUCUGAAAAACUGCUACCAUCCAUGAAGCUCAGUUUCACCUAGAGAAUAAAAAGAAUCUCAUUUACAGACUUCUUCUAAAGCCGACAUGUCAUCUCACGAAGAACAUUGAACUGCUUGAACCUUGCAACACAAUUGUAUUAGCAACGGUUUAAAACUGGAUUAGUACUGAAUGGUUCCAGGGGUCAAGCAGCUCGAUAGAAGAUUUCCUCAUCUUUCACUUCCUGUUAACUAAUCAGCACAGACGAUUUCAGGAAAAAUUUAUGCACAUGCUAGAUGUUUGAGUUUUAGGUCUACAAACCAGACCCAGAUGCAGGAUUGUGACCAGAAGAACCCCCUGGAGUGAAUACAGGAAGCUGGUUCGAGGCUGAAUCCCUUUUGAAUCUGGAUUCUCGAGACAAGUGGAGUGCAGUCCUCUCCUGGUUCAAACUCCUGUCAUUUCUUAAAUUAUCCCUAACCGGGACACUCAAAAGUGGACCACCAAAGAAAAUAGAGUCUCCUGUGUACAUCAGCUUUUCUGCUUGCUGCACUGGAGCCCUUGGUGCUGAAGAAGAAGACUCAUGUGAUGGAAUAACUGGCCUUCUACUUUGACUGCUAACUUGUGCACUAGAAGAUGGCAAUCCUAUUUGCAAGGAUGAUCUGUUUCCAACAUCUGAUGCUGAUAUUGGAACCGAUACAUACCUCCCAGCUUCUUGGUCCCAAACAACAGAAGUCCUUUUGACAUCUCUAAGAAGAGAAGCAGCAGGAGCUGACAGCAGCAAUGGAUCAGUUACACCUCCCUUUUGCAUUAUCUUUUCGUCAAAUCCAGAUGAAGUGUGGGUAACUGAGAGGUUGUUGGUGCUAGGAAAUGGUGCCUUUGAAGUUACUGGACGAUCAGGAAUGCCAGGAACUGAGGUGGCUGCACUAAUACGAUUCAAAGGAUGAGCUUGCGGCAGAGGACUAAGAGUGACCGACUCAUGGAUGUGGCUUGGACUGCUGAAGCUGCUCAUACUUUGAGUCCCAGUUUCAUAUUCAUCCCGGCUACCUUGACUGGGGGCACAUGAAUUUCUCACAGGUGACAAUCUCAUCUCAUUCUUGUUCCCUUUAUUUGCUCCCAUAUCUGUGCUAACACUACUUCGGACACUCAUAUUGCCACUGGAGCUAAAUUCUGAAUCGGGAUGCCGAUUAUCAACAGGCCGUAAAACAGACGAUGAUGCCCUGGCCUUGGCUGCAGCCCUCAUGGCCUCACUGGAAUCUAACUUUGCAAGCUUCCAAGCACUAAUACGAACAGAUCUUUUGGGUACCUUUUGCCCUCUUUCUGCAACUCCAGCUGCAUCUGGAUCAACAGUUGAUGGAACCAUUCCAGGCUCCAAGUGGGGUACAACUUCAUCCUAACGAACACCAUAUUCAAAACAAAAGUGUUAAUACCAUUCAAUCACACUUGAAAAGUUUGCUUCAAUGUAUAAAGUUAUGGGCACAGAAGGUUUGUAACACCUGAUAAUCGACAAAUACCCUAGGAGGGGUACACCAACCCCCCUUAUACUGCAGGCCCAGAGAACUUCCACCACUUACACCAGUUGUCGCAGAUCCCGACGGAGAGUAUAGCACAUUUGGCAGUUCCUCAUCCACAGAUGCUCCAGCAGGCGCCUCACUCAUUGCUCUCAUUGCUACAACAUACUCAUAGGUCGUGAUACCCUAAAUCCAAUAUAAAAAUCAAAAAUCAAAUUGAAAAUUUUAGAUUACCACAGAAAUUGUCCCUUGCCUCUCUAUAAUCUACUAGUCACCUCAUUAUUUUUCCUUUCCAAUACUCCAAUUAAUCACCAAAUGGAAGAAGAUUAAUGACCCAAAUUCAGUCAGAUAUUUUCAUAAAAUUCCAAACAACUCAUCCAUUUUCCAACUGACCAAACAGAGCACAAGGGAAAUGAUAGCAGUAUGAAGUUUCUUAGUCACUGACCUUUCUGAUGAGUAUCAUGUGGAAAAAGAAGAGUUCACCCAGAGGUAUACAAGCAAGCAUAGAAACCGCGGUACAGAUAGCCUGCAGAAUUUAUUCAGCAUUAGCACAGUAUUUUCGCAAGUAAAUGUAAUUAAUCAUUAGACUUGUCUCACACAAUAUGUACCACAACAGUUGCAAAUGGAGCACGAGAGAAACCAUCUCCAAGUCUGUCAAUAAUUUCAGUCUCCAUGCUCUUCUUAUUAACAAAGCAACGCACAAGGACAGCAAUACCAACACCUGCUUCAAUAACAAGCUGAAGCACAGAGAUAUUGAAAGAUGAUCAGUAUUGUGAAGUAAAAUCUAGUCAAAUGAUAAAAUAUUAGACUGCACAUACCCAAACAAGACUGAUGGCCAUAAGUGAGAUAAAAGUCACAUAAUUUUUGUGUCCCACACAAUUGUUAAGCCACUGCAGCCAUAAAAUAUUUUGAGGUCAAGAUCCAAUUUUAAAAGAAAGAGUGAGGAAGAAACAACUAGAUGAUGCUUAAUCCAAAACAAAUUGAGAUAAUCGAAGAUAAGUGCUUGUAAAGAGCACUUGGAACAACAUGAAGAUAUACCCGGCAGUGAUGAUCAAAACCGUCCACACAUUUAUCACAACUUCGGCAAUGUUUGCUGAACCUGCGAACCUGCAGCCAGGAAGGCUUUCGUGUCUAUUUAAGAAUUCCAAAUCAACAUGAGGUAUCCCUCAACUAGAGAUCAAGAAUUCCAAGACAAGAAGUGUUUCACGGUUCAUAUAAAUGGCAAAAGUAGCACAAGUCCAAUAAAAUAUUCAAGGGGUAAGAAUCUAAUAGAAACAUCAAUCAAAUGAAUCAGUAAGGGUGUGAAUAUUAAUCUCUGUCUGUUAUAAUACAAGAUAAGCAAUAUAUGGUCCUACUACACUAAUAUAUUUGUUAUAAAGUAAUGUGGGUGUCAGCUAGUUCAGUUGGAAAAAUCUCGUGUUAAUACGAAAGGUCUGGAGUCCGAACCCUGCUCACAUGGUGGCGAGGGAAUUUAAUUGCUAGUCAUGCUAUGAUUUAAAAUGAUGUAAAGAAAACAAUGUUACACCUCAGCAUUGCAUAGUGUGCAGAACAAUGCAUCAUCGCCGUUGCCCUGUUGCUCAGCUACUGCUUCCUCUUUACGGCAAUCUUCACGAACAAAUAAUGCACAGAAGAUUCUUCCAUUGAUAUUGCAGGAUUUUCUGGUUGCCGGUUUUCCUGGUAUGUCUGCACCACCCAUAUCCCCUACUGAGCCUUUCUUACUAGAGUUAGCCGCUGCUAGGGAACUUCGGGAAACCGAUGAUGGGGAAGAAUGUGGCACAUUGCCAAAUUCAUUAAAUGCUCUAUCCAUGUCCACUGAUGGUAACCUAGGAUUUCUCUUAGUUUUUUCAGUCCCCUUUCCAUCAAAUUUAGACAUUAUGCCAGGAUCUGCAGGGUUAAUUGCUGUACACCUGACAUAAAGAAUGAAUACAAGGAGUGCCUGCAAUGCCACACCAACAAUACAGGGGAUAAUAAAUGAAGGCCAGGUUUCUUUGUGCAGAAAAGAAAACAUAUGUCUAUGAUCAUGCUACUGAAAAAGCUCCUGAAAUAAAUCCAUUUUUCUUCAUUUGGGCAGAAACAAAAAAUUAUAUUUUCACAUUGAUCAACUAUAUUUGUGUAUUUUGCGCUUCAAACACAAGACAGUUUCACAUCUGAUGAUCAUCAUCCACUAUUCAUCUAGAAAAGUCGUGUAAAAUGUAUAAGCUGAAAAAGCACUAUCAUAGACCAUAGUUAUCAAACCCAUAUGCGCCGGCUGGUCCUCAAUUUGUUCUUUUAUCAAGGAACGGGAGGAAACUGGGUGAACCACAAAUUUCCAUUAGGAACAGUUUAUCCAGGUUAGACUGCCAGCCUUUUUCUCGUGUGUGUGUGCGUGUGAAAGAGAGAGAGAGAGAGAGAGAGAGAGAGGAUGCCUUAAUAAGAAUAGAACCUUGUUGUCAUACAUGGAAUGAACAGUCCCAACUACCAAUCCUCAUUUUAAGUUUACACAGUAGACAUUGAUCUUUUUGAUUUUUCUGUUUGAUAAUCCAGAAACCUCCCGGUGUUGCUCUGGUUUGAGACUUGCGACUGGUGCAACUUUUAUGCCAUUUCACAAGUAUACAAUAAUAAUCUUGAACAUAUUAAAAUAGUAAUUUAAAGGGAACUCACAUACCACUGGUGAAUAAGUAGCAAACAAAGCAUAUUCCCAGAUGUGGCCUCCAAGGAAAGGAGCGAAGAAAGCAUAGAAUGCGACUACUAACAAGCAAAAUACAGUAAUUGCAACAACCUACGAUGAUAAUAUCAAAAGAAAGCAAUGUCAGCUCAAACAAAUGGCAUCACCAGAAUAUAAAGGUUGAAAAAUCAUCAAAUGCCACUUUGAUAGAUAGUGCUACUGUUUCUCUGUUUAUAAUACUAGGGCCUCUGCGUGGCAUACAAAUAUCCAGCAUGUUAAUACUUAAUCCUUAUCAUGGAUACUAACUCCUCCAUUACAACAAUAGUCUAGUUCAACAACACAGAGAAUUCCUACCACAAGCUUCAACGAAAGUAACCUGUAAAUCUCAAUAUAUAAAAUUCAGAAUUGUUCAUUUCUUUCCCUCAGUUAGCAAACAGUAAACAAGUUAAACAUUUCAAUUCGGUACUGAUGGUAGAAUUACAGAAACCAAGAAAUGAGUAAUACCCUAAAUCCUAACAUUAAGAUUGUACCAGUAACGUAUUGCACAGAGCACAAGAACAGAAUUGCAACCAUAACGCAUAUCCAACACUAUUCACGGAACAAGUUCAAAUGCAGGAUAGAAAACCUUAAUUGCAGGACUUAGUUUUCUUGAGUGUUAAAAAAUAAUAAGACUUGGGGUAGGUUUGUAACUGUUUGUACUUCUACAUAAUUUUGAAGGCAUAACCGCAAAAGCAUUUGGUAAACAGCCAUUUAUAUUUAAUGGUUAGUGAUUCCAUAGCGAAUGCUGAAUUACAGCUUACAAGCCGCAAACAAGUGAACAACCCCCAAUCCAAAACAUAUCUGAAGUACAACUUGGUGAAAUUUGAAACCAAGCAAAAUGUAAACAAGAGCUAAAACCCAGCUCCAAAAUCAAGCAACAAGAAAACUUAACACACACAAUUGAGCACAAAGAAAUAUCCCUUAAAAAUAAACAACAAAAUAUAGAACAAAUGAGAACCCACAUUUAAACAAUUUUGAAGAGAAACCCAGAUUAGGCAACCAUUGACUUAAAUACAAAGAGAAGUCAAAAUUUAAGUAAAAAAGAAUCUCACAAAACAGAGUGAUAGUAUAGCGUAAAAUACCUGAAACGUGUGUGCAGGUAGUUGCCAUCCAUGUUUUCUCACCAUAACUGUCAAAAUUCUCCCACCUUAAAACCCACAGAAACCCUAACACACACAGUGAACCUAGAAGAGACAGACAGAAAGAGACACAGUAAAUUGAAGUUCCCACUUCCCAGUUCGGCACUUCCCCCUGUAAAGCAAAAAAAGCAAAAAUGAUAAACACAUAAUAAAUAUUAAAAAAAAAAAAAGAUAAAUGUCACUAAUGAAAUGAGUAGCUGAUAGUCUUACUUGUCCAGCAUUUAAAGAAAUAAUAUAUAAAAAUAAAAUAAAAUAAAGGAUACCCCGAUAUAGAGGUUAGACGAAAGCAGAGAAGUAGUAGUCCAAAGAAAGAAACAAAAACCAAGUGGAAAGGGUUGAAAGGAAAAACACGAACGACAAAACAAAAGAAAGACGUUGACGAUAUUUAUUUAUUUUUAAUAAUAAAUGGGGGACACACGGUUUUAUCAAAUUUGUUAGCGUUGGACGUGUUCGUGUUUACUUGCGUUUUGUGCAUUUCGUAACUUUUUUUAAAAAAAUAAUUUUUAUGAGUAUUUUUUUUUCCCCUCGAUAGAAAAUAAGGAUGGUAAAAAUUCCUAGGGAGAUGGAUAUUUUUGGGAAUUUUUUUUUAUUCGGGAAAAAUAUGGGUAUAAUUUCAUAUUUAAUUUUUUAUUUAGAAAAGAGAUGGGAAAUUUUUUUUACUCAAUUUUUUAUUCGGGGAGGGGACGAGGAUGAGGUGGAAUCCCCAUCCCCUACCCAUUUCUCCAUUUUAAUUUUUAAUUUAAUUUUUAUUUUUUAAAAUUACUAAUAAAUAAAUAAUAAAAAAUUUGAAUUAUAAAAUUAUAAGUAUUGGUAAAAAUAAAAAAUUAUCAAAAUAUUUAUAUUAUUAAAUUUUUAGGCCUAAUUAACUAAUUAAAGUCCUAAAUUUUUAUUUAGGACAUUAAAAAGACCGGAUAGAUUCUAUUAGCCCAAAAUUUUUGUUUUAAUUUUAAUAUUCAUUAAAUAUUUUAAACUUAAAUCUAUUUUUUAUUUAUCUUAAAUCUAUUUUUUAUUUAUUUUUAGAUGUUAUAAUUGACCACAUCAAAUCACAAUUUUAAUAUCUAAUCUAAUCUAAUACAAUAUUUGCUCUUGAUUUACUUCGACUUAACUAUUGUGUUGUAAAGGGAAUAGUCCACAUUUAUAAAGUGCUCACGCCACUAUUAAAAAGUUAAUUUUGAAUCUAAAUUUGAUUUUAUUUGUAAAAUUUUGUAUUAGGCUAUUAAUUUAUUCAUGAUAAUUUGUAUCACUUGCAUGCUGCGUUACUUACUAAUUUAAUGUAUGUGACUUUUGUAAUGGAUAUUAAUGUAAGAUAUAUUUCGAACUUUACUUUUGUUUGAAUUUUUUAUUUUAAUAUGAUUAACUCAAAAUCGAAAAUAAAAAAAAUGUAUUAGUUAUUCGGGGAUCGGAGAUCCUCGGAGAUCCCCUAUUAUUAUUCAGAGAGGGGAUGGAGAUUCUCUUAAAUAAAUUUAACGAGAAUGGAGAGGGGACAGAAACAUACGCAAAUUAUUAAAGAUAGGUAUAGAAAGAUUGGUCCCCUUCUCUCUCCUCCCCAUUGCCAUCCCUAAUAGAAAAUAUUUGGAAUCUGCUUUUUGUUUUGGUCCAAAAACGGGUUGUGGUUUUAUGUCCCCACCAUAAUUAUUUUCACAUUUACCUUUUUUAGUAUGGUCCCCAGCUGUUACGAUUAGGCCCAAUGGGCCCAUGAGAUGCAGUUCAAUAGUGUAGUUAGAAUGUUAGGUUGCACUGAUUUUAUUUAAUUAAUAAUAUUUUAAGUUUCGCAAUCUUUAUAUCAAAAUCGAGUGUCUUGCUAUAUGUAGCUUACAUUGUCUGAAAAUUAUUUUAUUUUAUUUUUUUACAAGACUCAAUUGUCAGUUAAUUCAAAUAAUUGCGGAAUUAUGAGAGACUAAUUUUGGGUCAAUUGUAAGUCUGUAUAUUUUAAGUCUUUAUAAGAACUCAAAUAUUUUUUCUCCUCGUAUAAAUAUAAGUGAGAUCGAUAUUUUCUUAAAUUUAGUGGAAGAAGAUUUCCUUAAUAUAGCAAAUAAUUUAUCCCCAAUCUUUAGACUUGUAAUUAUGCAUUCUAGUUGAUGAAAUAAGACAAAUAAAGAAGAUAAAUUUUGAUAGAGUAAAAGAGGGUUGUGGUGAUUAAGGGUGAGAAGUGAGAGUAGAUGGCGCUAUUUUUUCGAUUGAGAGUGGAGAGCCGCGUGCGAGAUUUGAGAGACACGAAAAUCAUUUUGUUAACGAUUUUUGUUAAUGUUUUAAUAUUAAUUUGCCCCUACUACAAAAAUAUAAUUUGUAAAAUUGAGGGUGAGACUAUUUAAAUUCACUAAUUUACUUUCUACAAUCUCUUUUUAGUUAAAAAUUUUAUUAUAUAAAUAAUAUAAGAAAAAAUUACUUAAUUAAUUCUUUAUUCUCUUUCUCUUCUCAAUUUGAUAAACUCUCGUUAAUUCAUUUAGAUAUAUUCUUUUAAAUACCAGCUAAUUGACACCAUUAACCAAGAGGAUCAAAACUCACCAUUCAAAAAUGAACAUCAAUUAAUUUUAUUUGCCAUAAAAGUUAGUGAAUAUAUAAAUUAAUUUUACCAAUCACAAAAGCUAAUGAAAAUCAAGAAAAUUUUUUCAUAUAUAUAAAAAGAACAAAAUAGAGUUCAUCAUGUACUAAGAAAAAUAACAAAAAAAUAAAGAAUUAAAAAAAAAGUGAAAAUGAGUGUUUAAUUUUAAUAAUUAAUUGUUUUUUUUUAAAUGGGAGUAAAGUCGAAUUUGGUAGGUUUAAAAUAGCCCCGCCCUAAAAUCAAUUCAUUAUAAUAUUUUUAUUUACAAAAUUGUUCCUAAUUAUCCCAAAAAUUAACAUGAAAUUUUAGCAAUGUUUUUUUUUCAAUAGGGUCAAUCAUCCUCAAUACCCGGCAAGUUAGAGCUAUCCUAAUUAGGAGCUCAUCUCUCAACCAAGUGAUACAAGAGCCAAAUCCUAGUAGUCGGAAUGCAUUGUUGGAAUAACUUAAGUGUGUUGGAUAAAUGAAUGAAAGUUCAAUGGUAGUUUUGUUUGAAAAGAGAUAAUUAUUGAGGUGUGUUUUACAUUGACAUUCAAAAGACUGUCACUUAGAUUUACAAGUAUCUAAAUUUUACAUGAAUGAUGUAGGGCAAAGGCUGAAUGAUGUAGUGGCAGUACCACAUUAGGACUAGGGGAUUGAAGCCCAACUUGACUUUUUAAAAGUUACAAAUUUAAUUAGAUAUUUAUCCUAUUUUAAUUUGAUUUACCAUAAAAUCCAUGCUAAAGUUAUAGAAAUAACCAACUAUUAAGUAUUUAUUUUUACACUUCCAACCCACUAAGAAAAUUUGUUAUUUUGAAGUUCCUCGGGCCUAACUCUCCUCACACACACCAAAAAAAAAAAAAAAGAAAAGAAACUAUUUUACCUUACUGUGUUUAUCCAAAUAAUUUUUCUUUAAUGGAUCUUAUGACACUUAAAGUUCAACUUAAUGUAUAUAUUAUGGAGUGGGUUCUGAUAAAAAAAUUUCAAAAUUGAAAGGGAUUGAUAAACUAUCAAGAAAAAUAAUUAAUACUAAAAAGGAUAAAUUGUAUUCAUUAAUUUUUUUAUUGAUUUUAUUAGUUCUCAUAACUAUAGUAAAAAAAAGCAUUUUCAGCUAUUAAUUUUGUGAAAAAUCAUUUGCGAAAUCAAAUGAGAGAUCAAUGAUUGAGUGAUAUUAUUGUUGUAUAUAUAUAAAAAAGAAUUAUCUUGUAUUCUUAAUGAUAAAGUUAUUCUUCAACAUUUUUAAUAUAUGAAAGCAAGUCGAGGUCAGCUACAAAUAUAUUGAAUUGAAUAUAUUAAUAAAUUUUUAUUUUAAUAUUUGUUAUUUAUUGAAAAAAAUUUAAAUUAUAUUAUUAUUUAAAUUUAGCUUCCGUUAGAUUAAAUUCUUGGCAUCUCCACUGGUACAACGUAUCAAACUUUUCUUCAUAUGGAAAUAAACUUUUUGCGACGAUAUGAUAAUUUGUAAAGGAGUCAGUUUAACCUUUAUGCUCCUAAUUUGUUUUUAAAAAAAAAUCAUUUAUCGACUUAAAGAAUGAUUUAGACCAUUUUAAUUACGAUCUGAAAGCCAACAGACCAAUUACAACAAAUAAAUUAAAAUAAGCCUCUCAUCUCAAAGACAUACAUUCUCACAACUACAGUUAAUUAAUCACAAAGGAGCGUGUGUUCAUUCAAUUAACAACAGCCGCGUGUGAAGCCAUUUUAGUCUUAAAAAAAAUAAUUAAAUAAAAAGUUGCAAGUCCUGUCACUGCUCCGAUGUGGAUGCCAGCAAGGCCUUUUAACACGCGUCACACGCGCCAAGGACAGUUCAAUGUUCCUGCCCGCUGGGGCGUGCUCAUCUGACAUCCCGCGACUCUCGGGUCCCGCCACCCAUAAUCCCGUACCAUGCACGUUCAAUUCAAAUUACCAGACUGCCACCGAAGGUAAUCGACACGCGCGAGGCGUGUGUGAGGCGAGUGGGGAAACAAAAACAGGAAACGAGAGUCAGAUUGGGACAAUUGACGAUACGAAACCCUAAAACAGAGCGAAAAAUUUGGGGCCAAAAAAGCAAUCGCCACUCGCUCUAUCCCCUCGCGUGAGAAAUUUCUUGGUUUUGCUCUCCCAGACAGAUCGAAGCCGAAGCGCUAGAGGUCGAAACAUUCACUUUCUUUCUCUCUUUCAUUGCAAAAUUCUUCUCAAUUUUUGAAAUCCUCCUUUCAUAAUCCGUAGAACUCGAGCUUUAUUUUUCUUUUUUUCUUUUUUCAAUUUUUUUGUGAGAUUCUUUCUGGGUGUUAUUUGUUGUUAUUAUGUUAGGUGAAAUUACCAAUAUGGCUUGGAAAAGCUAAUUAAUUGAUUGAAACAGCUCAGCUCAGCUCAUCUAAGCUUGACUGCUAUUGUGCUUGUGCUUUAAAUUUAGUUUGAAAUGUAAGAAGAAAUAGACAAACAUUGGGUUCAGUAGAAUCAUUACUGUUUUUUUUUUAAGUUUAGGUUCUUAAGCAAAUUGAGCUGUGCUUGAAGGGCUUUAUAAAGUUUUGGACCAGCUGUUUGGAGUAUAAGUUUGGAGCUGAGGUGUGAAUGUACUUGAAUUUGGUAUUGCUGAUGAAAAUAAGAAUAAAUGAGCUAAAUUAAUCCACUUAGUAUUAGUUGAAAGCUAAAUGUGUUGUUGGGUUGCAUGAUUUGAAACAAUGACCCUGAAAUUUGUCCAUUUUGUUUACUCAACGUGCUAAAAGUCUACAUAACGAGUUGCCUUUCUCAAUGCUUGCACGUGUUAAGAUAGGAGUAAUUGCUUUUAUUUUGUGAUUAUCAAGGGCAGCAGAAAGUGAGUAGUUGUUAUUUGUCUUGCAUAUUAGGUAACAUUAAGUGCAGCGGAUAUUUUGUUCGAUCUUUCUGGAUUCUACUAGAAAGAAUUGGUGAUUUGAUGGAUAUUUAGGCUAUUGUCUACUUGGUGCUCAUAUUGUCUGAAACAUAUGAAUUGUAAGUUGAUGCUCUGGAUAGGUAGGAAAUAGACAGAGGUUGUCACUUAGUGCAAGAGGCGAAAAAAUGACAUCCCAUAUUUUAUUGUUCCUAGAAUUGAAGUAUAUGAUAAUGAAUGGAGUAAUUACUCAAGGGGACUUUGUUACUGGUUUCACGACUUCAUUGCUGGGCUCAAUCUUCAUUCGUCGACUCAGUAAGUAAUUGGGAUCCUUAGUAGCUUGUAACUGCUGUAGCAGAAAUCUUGCCAAGAGCGCUGACUUGUUUAAGGAUGGUGUUCCUAUGCAUGUAGAAGUUGAUUUUAAUGGUAUUAGCUAUCUGAGAAUUUUGAUCCUAGAAAAUAUUUAUGAUCGUCGGUGGCUAUGUAAAAACUAAUAAUUAUUCUUUUUUCUAAUAAAAAGUGCUGUGUGUGUCUCUUGGUGUGCUUCAAAGAUUUUAUUGCCUUUUCCAGGGUCAUCUUGGUAUUGAAAUGAUCAACUCCUUUCACACACAGCAGUUUUGGUUGAUAUAUGUGUAUAUACAUUUUCUUUCAGAAAAAUAGGAAAUAGGCAAUAUGUUACAGUUCAUGAGAACUCCAAAAUAAGAUGGCAGGAGGUAGUUGUAAAGAUCUCAUUUUACAGAAAUGUGUUUUGGUAAGUUAUGCAGAUUUGUUGACAAACUUUGCAUUAUUUGCGAGUGCACUUAUUGGAGAUUUUGUUGCUGAUCAAACACUAAAUAAUUUGAUUUUUUAUUUUUUAUUUUUGGGUUCGUUUUGACCUAAUUGGGCAGCCUUUUUGCUUCCCAUGCUUCCUUCUGCCUUGGGUAUUUGGAGGCAAAGCUACUUUCUGCUGCUUAAAAGCUCAGCCAUUUUAAAUCAUGUCAAAUUAGCAAUUUUUUGUGAUGUUAGAUCUUCCUUUGAGUCAAUUUGGUAAGUUAAUUGCAGACUCAUAAUGUUUUGACCUUUUUCCAUAAAGUAUAUAUUUAUAUGUUCUGGAGCUCCAAACUACUAUGCUGAUUUUUUCUUUAUUAUCACUUUUUAAGAUUAAAUUUUAAUUGAUUGCAACGGAUUUUAAAAUGUAGCGCAUGCUCUUUAUGUUGCUUUUAAUGUUACCUUUUUAAAUUAGGAUGUAUUUGUUGUCAUAUUUCUAAAAUACGCCUUUAUGUAAUAAGUAAUAUGUGAUUCGUUUUUCAUAAAUGACUGAGAUGGAAAAAUGGGUGUUGGGCUGGUGAGAAGCUUUUAUGAUUAUAAUUUUAUGGUUCAGAAAGUGGAAAUUUGUUUUGUUGAGCAAUGUAUGAUUUGAUAGCCAAUGAGUGCAGUGGAACACUGUUUUACCAGUGUGUUCGAAUUGGCACAAAGUAGACUGAAGUUUGAUUACAGACAGAGCUACAUUUAAAUUAAGCAAUCCAGAGUUGGAAGUUCUUAGUGCUUUAUUAUAUUUUUCAAUUGCUUGGUUGGCAUUCGUCACUUUUAAUUUUUUUUACCUAUUCAGUAUUUGCACAUCUGGAGACUUGCUAAAAUUAACUGUGAUUCUCAUUCUUAUUGAUUCUAUUGUGGUAGGUUGGAACAUCUAAUGUACAUAAUGCAUACAUGUUUCUUCUCCUACUUUCAGGUGUCCUUGGAACAUAGUUUGUAGAGUAACAAAAUUUUCAUCAUGGACAUAGAUCUUAGGCUACCUUCGGGUGAACAAACAAAGGAAGAGGAAGAACAUAAUGGGAUUGACAACAUGUUAGAUGGUGAAGAGAAACUGUCACUGCAUAAUGGUGAGAUAGAGAGUGGAAACAUUGUAGUUGCUGAUGAGGUACGUGCAGAAGAUGGCGGUGGUGUGAAUUCUCCCACAGAAGAAAUGGUAAUGUUCAAAGAGGAUACAAAUCUCGAGCCACUUUCUGGUAUGGAAUUUGAAUCUCAUGGUGAAGCAUAUUCUUUCUAUCAAGAGUAUGCUCGGUCUAUGGGAUUCAACACUGCGAUUCAAAAUAGUCGCCGUUCAAAAACAUCAAGAGAAUUCAUUGAUGCAAAAUUUGCUUGUUCUAGAUAUGGAACUAAGCGAGAGUAUGAUAAGUCCUAUAACCGCCCUCGUGCCAGACAAAGCAAACAAGACCAAGAAAAUGCAACUGGUAGACGGUCAUGUGCAAAAACAGACUGCAAAGCAAGUAUGCAUGUGAAGAGAAGGCCAGAUGGAAAAUGGGUUAUUCAUAGUUUUGUGAAGGAACAUAACCAUGAACUUUUGCCAGCACAAGCUGUGAGUGAACAAACCAGAAAGAUGUAUGCUGCAAUGGCCAGACAGUUUGCUGAGUAUAAAAAUGUAGUUGGUCUGAAGAAUGACCCCAAAAAUCCAUUUGAUAAAAGUCGGAAUUUGGCACUGGAAGCAGGAGAUGCCAAGAUUUUGCUUGAUUUUUUUACACAGAUGCAGCAUAUGAACUCCAACUUUUUCUAUGCUAUAGAUCUGGGUGAAGAUCAACGGUUGAAGAAUUUGUUCUGGGUUGAUGCCAAAAGUAGGCAUGAUUAUAAUAAUUUCUGUGACGUUGUGUCUUUUGACACUAUGUAUGUUAGAAACAAAUAUAAAAUGCCUCUUGCUUUAUUUGUUGGUGUGAACCAACACUAUCAAUUUGUGUUGCUUGGAUGUGCAUUGAUAUCAGACGAAAGUGCAGCAACGUUCUCAUGGCUAAUGCAGACUUGGUUGAAAGCAAUGGGAGGACAGGGUCCGAAAGUAAUUAUUACUGACCAAGACAGGACCAUUAAAGCAGUUGUUUCAGAGGUCUUUCCUGAAACUCGUCAUUGCUUUUGUUUGUGGCAUGUAUUAGGGAAGGUUUCCGAAAAUCUCAGUCAUGUUACUAAACAGCAUGGAAACUUUAUGGCAAAGUUUGAAAAAUGCAUCUAUAGGUCAUGGACAGAAGAAGAGUUUGGUAGAAGGUGGUGGAAACUUCUUGAUAGAUUUGAACUUAGAGAGGAUGAAUGGAUGCAGUCAUUGUACGAAGAUCGGGUACACUGGGUGCCAACCUACAUGAAGGAUACCUUUUUAGCUGGAAUGUCAACUGUUCAGCGAUCUGAGAGUGUAAACUCCUUCUUUGACAAAUUUGUGCAUAAGAAGACCUCUGUGCAAGAGUUUGUGAAGCAGUAUGAAGGUAUUCUUCAAGAUAGGUAUGAAGAGGAAGCCAAAGCUGAUUCUGAUACAUGGAACAAACAACCUGCACUGAGAUCUCCAUCACCAUUUGAGAAGAGUGUGUCGGGGGUUUACACUCACACAGUAUUUAAGAGAUUUCAAGUUGAGGUUGUGGGUGCAGUUGCUUGUCAUCCUAAACAGGAAAGUCAAAAUGAGACAAAUAUUAUAUUCAGAGUUCAAGAUCUUGAAAAAACUCAGGACUUUGUUGUUAUGUGGAAUCAAAUGAAGGAAGAAGUUUUCUGUGUAUGCCGAUUAUUCGAAUAUAAAGGUUAUCUAUGCAGGCAUGCAUUGAUUGUACUUCAAAUUCGUGGGCUUUCUGCUAUUCCACCUCAAUAUAUUUUGAAACGAUGGACAAAAGAUGCAAAGAGCAGGCAAAUGGGAGACGAAACUGAUCAAAUGCAAACUAGGGUGCAACGGUACAAUGAUUUAUGCCAGCGGGCAAUGAAAUUGAGUGAAGAAGGAUCAUUAUCUCAAGAGAGUUACAGUAUUGCAUUUCGUGCACUAGAAGAAGCUGUUGGAAAUUGUUUGAGUGUAAAUACUUCUAAUAAGAAUCUUGUGGAAGCUGUCACAUCCCCAACUCAUGGUCUGAUCUGUGUUGAGGAAGAUAACCAAAGUAGAAGUAUGAACAAGACAAAUAAAAGAAAGAAUCUCACGAAGAAAAGAAAGGUAAUUUCUGGUCAGCAUUUGCAUGCUUAUGUUCUUGUCACUAAUCAAAUUUCUCAUAAAUGAUUUCCUUUAUGCAUUUCAGUUGAACUCGGAGCAGGAGGUUAUGACUGUAGGGGCAGGGGCGGGGUCUCAAGACAGCUUGCAACAAAUGGUUUGUGUUACAUUAUAAAUAUCCUGGUUAACGUCGUUUGGCUUUAGGGAGUCUGAAUCUCCACAAAUCAAGUUUUAAAAUUCUGAUUUUAUUUGCGGGAGGAUGUUAUUAAAAAUAGUAAUUGAUUCAUUUAAAAUUGAGAAAAAAUUUCUGUACUACAAAAAGUCUUCGAGUUAGAUUAUGAUUGUUCUCUGCAAUUGUUAUUUUAUUGUUUUAGGACAAAUUAAACUCAAGAGCAGUAACUCUAGAUGGCUACUAUGGCACUCAACCAAGUGUGCAAGGAAUGGUAUGUUGUUAUUCAGUUCAUUAAUCUUCUGGUAAUACAUGAACUAUAUUUGUCUUCAUAUUUAUGGGAUGUGUUUCUUUGUCUUUUUGCAGGUACAGCUUAAUUUAAUGGCACCAACACGUGAUAAUUACUAUGGGAAUCAACAGACGAUUCAGGGGCUGGUAUGUCAUAUGAAUAUAACAUAAUAAGUGAAAGAAGCUAGCAACUUGAUCUAGUGGAGGGUGCAGUACAUAUCAGACUAAUAUCAAUAUCUUGGGUCAAUAUGUGUAGGGACAGUUAAACUCAAUUGCACCAAGCCAUGAUGGUUACUACAGUGCACAGCAAGGCAUGCAUGGGCUGGUAUAUUAUCUCACUUGGUGCUACUGGUAAUUAUGUGUAUAUUGGGAUUUCACAUGGUUAGGUUUUACUGAAUAGAGUUUGAUUCUUGCAGGGACAAAUGGAUUUUUUCCGGACACCAACUAGUUUCACCUAUGGCAUUCGAGUGAGUUUGCCAGAUAUUGUAUUCAGACAGUUAGGUAUGAUCUGAUUAGUAUUUUCCUAAAAUGGUUCCUCCAUAUUCCCCAAAUUGCAGGAUGACCCCAAUGUGAGAACAGCACAAUUGCAUGAUGACGCAUCAAGACACGCCUGAAGAGUCCUAUUAUUGCUGUAAGGUAAGUUUAUAUCUGCAAUAACAUCUUUCCUUUGGUCUUCCAUGACUGGACUAUCAAACGAGAAUAUUGUGCUUCGUAGGCAAACAGGAAAUGAAGUUAUUUAACAUUCUGGGUAGCUGCAAAGAAAGUACUGAGUCUGAAUAGUUUGUAAAGCAUGACACGUAUUGUGCAUUGUGGAUGCGACGAGCAUCAGGCUGAAGAGAACUUCCUCUUAGUUGGUUGUAAGAUAAAGAUAAAGAGUAGGAUGUCGCCUUUUAUUUUCACCAGAAAUCGGGGGUGUUGUAGAGAAGAGAGUUGGAACAGAUUCAGGUCGGGGAUGAUUGAUUGAUCUCUUGUAAAGCUUCUUGUAUUAUUGUGUUUUGUGAUCAUCACAUGCUUCAUAAACCCUAAAUAGUCAGUCGAAAUCAGGGAAGAAAAAACCCAAUUUUCCGUUUGAUCACUAUAUAUAUUCACUAGUACUAACAGCAAAGUGAAAGAUGGAAGCAGGGGCACAUGUGCCUCUUCUUCCCCCCAUCCAAUUCUUUUUAUCUUUUGGUUCAAGGAAUUGUCCUCUUUUGCCCUAGCAGCUGGUUGACAGGAGUGGUGACGGCGAUAUUGCUUUGGAGAAGGGGCAACUUUCCAUUAAGUCCUGGGUUGUUGAACUAAUUUAUUAUCUUUUAAAUUUAAGAUGAAUUUACAGCUUCGUGAUGUAGGGUGAUGUUCUGACAUAGAUCAUUAACUUCUGAUGAAAUUCGAAAUUACUCUCGUUAGACUUAAAUUGUGGAAAAUCUUACACAUUUGCAGGUAUAGUAAAAUCUUUAUAAAUUAAUGUACAAUUCAAUGAAUAUAUAUUUUUAAUUAACUAAUAUACAUUGUAGUUUACUAAUAUAAUCAAUUGAAAAUGAAUUAAUCCAAUAAAUAUAUAUUAAAUUAACAAAAAAAUUUAAAAUCCUUGCAAUUUUAGAAAUUGACCUAGGAACUCCUAGAAGCAAUAAAUAAAAUUAGUGAUGAGCAACAAUAUAAUCAUAUUUUUUAAAUAAAAUAUUAUAAUUUAUAAUUUCAGUAAAUUAAUAAUUUAAAAUAUGAAUAAGACUACGGAGUUGUAUAAGUUUUUCUUUAAUGUAUUAUAUUAUAAGUUUUUCGAAAUUAUUAAUUUAACCCUUUGAUCGAAGUCAAAACUGUAAAAAAUUAUUAUAUAAUAAAUAUUAUAAUUUUAACGAGUAUUAAAUUAUAGUGAUUUUUCUGCAGUUAAUUCAUAAUUUGGGAGGUAAUCUAUUAUCGGUUUGUGUAAAUAGAUUCGAUUAAUUGUGCAUGUAUUAAUGAUUUUUUUAUUAAAAAAAUAAUAUUGUUGUAAUUAGAUAUUCCAACAAUAACAAUAUUUAAUUGAUUCUUAAAAAAAGAAAAAAUGAGUGAGGAUAAAAAAUUUCACUCAUUAACAAUCAAUCUUUAUUUUUAUUAGUGUAAGAUUUGAUUUUUUUUUUCCUUUCUCUCAAAAGAUUUGAAUCAGAAGGAGAAACUUCAUUAAUUGUUCUCGUUAUGAGUAAAAUUUGAGUGUUAUUAAUUGAACUCGAAAAGAAGAAGAAAGAACUUGAUAAUCGAUGGCGACGCUGAACACAUUUAUAGCUGCCUUAGAGCAUGCAAGAUUUGAAUUUAUAUAUCAAUUAAUUUGUGUUGCCUUCCUUCUUUUCUGAAGAAAGGUUAAAUUUUCUUUCUUAAACAAGGGUAUUAGUACCUUUUUUUUUUUUUUAAAAAAAAAGAAGGAACAUAAGAAAAUAAUUCUUUUAUAUAUACACACACAUAAUUAUUCGCUUUAUUAAAAUAAAAUAUCAUUAAAAUAAAAAAAAAAUGACACAUUUCUGUACAUUUAUAUAUAUAUAUAUAUAUAUAUAUAUAUAUAUAUAUAUAUAUAUAUAUAUAUAAUCACAUAUUUCAGUCGGCAAAGCUAAGCUGGAUCCAAUUUAUAUAAGGAAGUAAUUAAAUCGACAAAAAAAAUAAAAUUCCCACGCGCCACACAUGUUGGCGGCAACAAGAAAAAAAGGAUAUAGAUAAAACCAAUAACCAAAAGGGAAAAAAAAUCCAAAAAAGCUAAACGCGCCGAGCAGAAACAAAGGAAAGAGGCAAGUGAGAUAAGCGAGUGGAAUUUGGCAGAAAAAUCUUCAGAUCCUCCAAGAUCUCGCUUCGCGAGUGAACUCAAAACCCUAAUUUCCCCACUCGCCUCGUGCUCACUCGCUUCAAUUUCGUUCUAUUUAAUUGAGAUCAUCAAACGGUCAUUUCUUUCUUCGCCUGAGGUUCCCUCUCUUCUUCUUCCUCUUCUUUUUUCUCACGAAUAUUACUUUUUUGUUUUUUCAGUAUCAUUAUUAGCAGCACUGCCGUCUUUAUAACGAACCUUUUUAAUUUUCUGUUAUGUAGCUUGAGUCUUGCUGAAAGUACAUGUUUAAAAGUUUGGAUUUUAUUUUUUCCAAGUACUUUCAGCAGCCUCCGGCGUCAUAGCAGAGAGUGAAAUUAUUCGAUACUCAUUUACCAGAUAGCAGCAACAAUGACUUAAAGCUCUUUCGUGACUGCGAAGCUAUAAUUAACUUGCUCUUUAAUUGUUUAAUUUAUAUUAAUUCUUCUUGUUGCUUUUGCAUUAGUUUGAUUAAUAAAGCUUUGUGGUGUAAUUAGGGUUUGGUGGGGGGUGGGCUGUGAGUAAUGAUGAUAACGGUGAUUUAUUUUAAAAUUAGGGUUUGUGAAUAGUGGUGGCUAAUAAAGACAGCUGAUUUAACUGCUUAAGAAUGUAAUUUGAUGUUUGAAGCUGCAGCCCCAAAUCCGUGAGUUAGUUUUGGUGUAACUAGUCAGUUUAAAAUUAUGAUAGGCUGCUUGAGAUGUAUUGGUGAUUUUUUUUUUUUUUUUGAACUGUGAAAGAAAAAUUCAUUUUUCGUUGAAACAAAGAUGUAGAUAUUUUGUGAAAAUAUUAAACAUCACGGGAAGCAGUUAAUUGGUUGAGUGAUGAUAAAUAGUACAUAGAAGAAGAGCAGGGGAAAUAUUUAGUUUUUAGAUAUUGUGAUAUUUAAUUAUUAUCCUUAAUCAAAUUUUGUUUAACUGAUUUCAGGUAGCAUUGUAGAUAAUAUGCUGUGUAGAAUGGACUUCCUUGAUGGAAACUAAACUUGAACAACUUUUUGUUGAAACAUGACUAGGUUGGAGAUGUGCCAGAAUAUGCGGUAGAUGAUAUGGGUGGUCAAGACAAUCUGCAUGGUGCCGGUGGUAGCAUGAGUGAAAAUAUGAUCAAUGUUGUUGAUGCAGUAUAUAGUGGAGACGUGGUGGUUGAUUCUUCAAAAAUGGCUGUUGCAGGGUUCGAAGGAGAAUCAAAUUUUGAGCCACGUACUGGCAUUGAAUUUGAAUCACAUGAGGCAGCCUACUCAUUUUACCAAGAAUAUGCAAAGUCUAUGGGAUUUACUACUUCGAUUAAGAAUAGUAGGCGCUCAAAGAAAUCUAAAGAAUUUAUUGAUGCCAAGUUCGCAUGUUCCAGAUAUGGGGUCACGCCAGAAUCAGAUAGUGGUAGCAGUCGGCGAUCAAGUGUGAAAAAAACAGACUGCAAAGCCAGCAUGCAUGUGAAGAGAAGGGCAGAUGGGAAGUGGAUUAUUCAUGAAUUCAUAAAGGAGCAUAAUCAUGAGCUUUUACCAGCACUUGCUUAUCAUUUUCGAAUUAAUAGAAAUUUAGCUGAAAAGAAUAAUAUUGACAUUUUGCAUGUUGUUAGUGAACGAACAAGAAAGACAUAUGUUGAGAUGUCUAGACAAUCUGGUGGGUGUCAUAAUGCUGGGUUUUCAAGGGACGUGGAUAAUCAAUUUGAUAAGGGCCGACACUUGUCUUUGGAUGAAGGGGAUGCUCAAGUUUUGCUAGAGUAUUUUAAGCGUAUCAAGAAGGAAAAUCCCAGGUUUUUUUAUGCAAUAGAUUUGAAUGAAGAACAGCGCUUGAGAAAUUUGUUCUGGGUUGAUGCUAAAGGUAGGGAUGAUUAUGUCUAUUUUAAUGAUGCUGUUUCUUUUGAUAUGUUUUAUGUCAAUAUGAACGAUAAAUUGCCUUUUGCUCCGUUUGUCGGAGUGAAUCAUCACUGCCAGCCUAUUUUGCUUGGAUGUGCAUUCAUUGCUGAUGAGAGUAAAUCAACUUUUAUAUGGUUGAUGAAGACAUGGCUAAGGGCAAUGGGUGGGCAAGCUCCCAAGGUUAUAAUCUCUGAUCAAAACAAAUUCUUGAAGACUGCAAUUGAAGAAAUUUUGCCAAAUACACGCCAUUGCUUUGCUCUUUGGAAUAUAUUAGAAAAGAUUCCUGAAACUCUUGCUCAUGUAAUCAAGCAGCAUGAGAAUUUUGUUUCAAAAUUCCACAAGUGCGUUUUUAAAUCAUGGACUGAUGAACAGUUUGAUAUGAGAUGGUGGAAAAUGGUGACUCGCUUUGAGCUUCAAGAUGAUGAAUGGUUUCGAUCAUUGUAUGAAGAUCGUAAGAGGUGGGUGCCUACUUACAUGGGGGAUACUUUUUUGGCUGGAAUGUCUACAACUCAGCGCUCUGAAAGUAUGAACUCUUUCUUUGAUAAAUACAUCCAUAAGAAAAUUACCUUGAAAGAGUUUGUGAAACAAUAUGGGAAUAUUCUACAGAAUAGAUAUGAAGAGGAAGCCAUUGCAGAUUUUGAUACAUGGCACAAACAGCCAGCUUUAAAAUCUCCUUCGCCUUGGGAAAAACAAAUGUCAACAGUUUACACACAUACGAUAUUUAAGAAAUUCCAAGUUGAAGUUUUGGGUGUAGUUGGCUGCCAUCCUAAAAAAUCAAGUGAAGAUGGAACCAUUGUAACAUAUAAAGUUCAAGACUGUGAAAAGGAAGAAGACUUUAUGGUUACUUGGAAUGAAUUGAAGUCGGAGGUCUCUUGUUUCUGUCGUCUCUUUGAAUACAAAGGGUUUCUUUGUAGACAUGCAAUGAUUGUUCUCCAGAUAUGUGGUCGUUCGAGCAUCCCACCUCAUUAUAUUUUGAAAAGGUGGACCAAAGAUGCAAAAAGCAGGCUGUUGAUAUCUGAAGGUGCAGAAUGGUUGCAGACUAGGGUGCAACGUUACAAUGAUCUAUGUAAACGAGCCAUUGAAUUGAGUGAAGAAGGAUCAUUAUCUGAUGAGAAUUACAAUAUUGUUUUCCGUGCAUUAGUAGAUGGACUGAAAAAUUGUGUGAACGUGAACAAUUCUAGCAACAAUGUUUUGGAAUGUAGUAGCCAUGUGCAAGGUCUUCGAGAAGCAGAAGAAAUAAAUCAAGGAAGCCUUGCUACCAAGUCAAAUAAGAAAAAGAAUGCAAUCAGGAAGAGGAAGGUUGGUACUGGAACCAAAGUUGUUUUUAUAGGGCUAAUUUCAGAUUACCCCCUUAUGAAAUGACAAUCCGGAAAAUACUUCCAAACUAUCAUAAACCUCAACUUAUCCCUAUUUUUGUUAAGAAGACAAAAAAUUUCAUCAUUUUCCCCCCUUAUCUUUUGAACAAAAUUCGGGUAAGUUGAGGUUUACAAUAGUUUAGAGGGUAUUUUGAAGAUUGCCAUUUCACGAGGUAAUAUGAAAUUGACCCUAGUUUAUAUGCUAAUGGUCUCAUUAUGUAUCUGCAGCCACUGUGCUACAAAUUUUUUUUUUUAAAGAAAAUUUAAACAAGAAUAUUAUUGCACUGUGUUUCUCUAUAUUUCAGGUACAGUCAGAGCAGGAUAUCUUACUUGUUGAGGCACAAGAAAGCUUGCAGCAAAUGGUUCGUCCCAUCUCAGUUUUAGUUGCGAUGUAAUUUUCUUGUGUAUCUGAUACCAGUUGAAAAUGAUUUUACAGGACUGCUUACUUUUUCAGAUAUUUUGUGUCCAAUAACAUCUUCGACUGUCUUUUAACUAGUAAAUUCUGUAGGGAAAUGUCUCAGACAUAUUUUCAUAUAUUUAGUUGUCACUGUGAAACAUGCCAGGUCGUGAAUUCACCUGCAUUGUGUUUCUGAUGAUCUAAAUCUUGUAAUUUGUUUCACUGUUAAUGUGCUUUGUUGGAUCAUUAUAUCUUGUUUUGGCAUUUAUGCUUGUAGGAAAAUCUAACUUCUGAUGGGAUCGCCCUUAAUGGUUUUUAUGGUUCUCAACAGAAUGUGCAAGGACUGGUAUGACAUGUCUUACUAGUUUGACUAUUUAAAAGCUAUGUUGUGCAGUUUCCUGAAUAAAAUAUGAUCUCAAUUAUGUUAUUAUUAACUGCAUCGUAUUGCAGGUACAGUUAAAUCUAAUGGAGCCACCUCAUGAUGGUUACUAUGUUAAUCAGCAGAGCUUGCAGGGGCUGGUAAGUCGUGCUUGAGUUAUUACGAUAAGAUGUAUUAUAAAGAAUUGACGUUUUGUGACAAACUGAUUUGUCAACAUACCUGUAGGGACAGUUGAACUCAAUAGCACCCGGGCAUGAUGGGUUUUUUGGGGCUCAACAGAGCAUGCAUGGGCUGGUAUAGGUGUUUGAAGUUGACUUAAUAGACAUAAAAGGAAAUUUAGCAAUGAGAAUAUGAUCUAAAAGAUGAACUUUCCAUAAUUAUGCUUCUGUUGAUGUAGGGACAAUUGGAUUUCCGACCUCCAACUAGCUACAGCUAUGGUCUGCAGGUUGGUAUCAAAGACACGGUAUAUUUACGCGGUGAUCAUGUAUAAAUGGCGCUUCCUAAUGCUGUCUUUUUAUGUUGCUUAUUUUCAGGACGAAUCCCAUUUGAGACAAACUCAGUUACAUGGUAAUGCUCCAAGGCAUCCAUAAAGACGGAACUCCGUGAUCUAUCAAUUUAGAAGCGUGCAAAAGAAUAGUUAAAGCUUCAACUUCAGGGGCAGCCAAAAAAUGGUUAUCAAGUUGAGCGGAAUUAUUCAAUCAAGAAGUCGUUGACUAGAAUUGAAUCUAGCUGUUCCAACCCCAAUUGUCUCACUUAGUGCAUGGAGCAUUUCGCUUCUGUUCUGUCGAUCCAGUUUAACUGCACAACGGAUGCCAUGGAAAGCAAGACUCCUGUUCUCUGAGGUGUAGAUUUCUUGCUUGGAUGGGAAUUGAUCUAAGAAAUGCACUUGUCCUGUGCAAAUCAGUAAUGUUCAGUGGCAGUAGUAAUAUAUCUCUGUAAAUGUUCUUGUAUUCUUCUUAUUGUAUGUGUAUGUCCGUCGCCAUGUUGUGGAGUUGUGGUGCUACUCUUCUUAAGUAUGAAUUUUACCACGGAAUUACUCUUUUAGCUGUUGGAGAAAUGUUUAUUUGGAAAGUGUUGAUGUGUAGUCCUACUCUUUAUAUUAAAGCAAUAUACUUCUAUGUGUAGGGAUGAAUAAUGUCUUUUUUUUUUUUUUUUUGAAGAGGGGAUGAAUAAUGUCUAAAUUAAUAUUUUAAUGCUUUAAACUCGACUAUCAAUUAAAAAGAUUAUUUGAAAACAAUUUAUAAUAUAUUUCACUUAUUAAAUAGUGUUUAAUAUUCUUAUCUUAAGUGCUAAUAUAACAUUUAUCGUUAAAUAAUUUUAAUUUGUUUUUGUGCCAUUUAGUUAUAAUGAUAAAAAAUUUUAUAUAAAAAAAUAAGAGAUUGGUGUUCAAACUUCUCUUUUAUGGGUGGAAAGGAGAUUAGAUUGUCAUUAAACUAAAUGGUAUAUAUAUAAAGAUUUAAUUAAAUAUUAUAUUAUGAUAGUUUAUUUUUUCUUAUUUUUAUACCCAAAAAAAUAAAUAAAUAAUUGAAGGAAGCUGACCCCUAAUAUGUGAUUUUCUGUAAUUAGAGUGAUUAAUCAUUUAAUCAGCAGCGAGAUGGUCGAACUCGAACCGCCAAGUAUGUGAACCGGACGGACUCGGGUUUAGUGACGGUUCAAACUUCAAAACUCUCUCUCUUUCUUUCAGGCUGCCUCUCAAAUGAUUGUUGCUCGUGGCGCGGGUAUGUUUUCAUACAAAUUCUUUCUUUUUAAUUAAACUCAUUGUUUGGUUGCCACGAAUUCUAAGAAAUAAAAAAAUGGAAAUUAAAUCUAAAUUCUUUGUAUUUUAUUAUUAUUAUUAUUGUUAGGGCUUUGACACGAGUUGACAAGCUCGAAUUUGGUUUUGUAUGGGUAAAUUUAGCUCAGUUAAGUUGAAAAGUUCCAUAUUCAAUUUUCUUCAAUUUUCUGAACUGAGUUUUACUUCCUUUUGAACCCAAUUUUAGUACCAAGUUCAGUUUUUAUUAGUGUAUUUGGAGUUGCCUUUUGCUCUGGUUGAUCAACAAAGCUUCUAACUUUUUGAAAAUUGGGAAAAUGUUGAUGCAUAUUUGAUACAAUCAUAGAUAGCUGUAACUUGUGCUGGUGAUCUAUAUUUUUAUUCUUUUUAUCAAUUUUCAGGUGCCUUUGGUAGAGUGAUUUUUGAUGUAGCAUAAAAUUUUAUUUUUUUCAUGGAGAUAGAUCUUGAAUUGCCUUCAAAUGAACAGGAGAAGUUAGAUACUAUUUCAGAUACAACCGGUGAUAUCAUGGAUGGUGAGGAUAGAAUAGGUGUUGACAAUGGAGAUGGUAAUUCUCCUAGAAUAGGUGAAUACGUUGAGGAGUGUGGUCCAAGUGCAAGCGAAAGAGUUGCUGGCAGUGGGAAUCAAGUAGAUCUGAGUGUCGUUGGAGCAAAUGUCCAUAAAGGGGUCAUGUGUGAGCCUCAAAAUGGUUUGGAAUUUGAAUCAAAGGAGGCAGCCUAUUCUUUCUACAGAGAAUAUGCUCACUCUGUUGGAUUUGGCAUCACGAUAAAAGCCAGCCGCCGUUCGAAAAAGUCUGGAAAAUUUAUUGAUGUAAAAAUUGCAUGUUCUAGAUUUGGUAGCAAACGAGAAUCUAGUACUACUACUAAUGCUCGGUCAUCUUUUCCAAAAACAGGCUGCAAUGCAGGCAUGCAUAUGAAAAGGAGACCAGAUGAAAAGUGGGUUAUAUACAGUUUUGUAAAGGAGCAUAAUCAUGAGAUUUGCCCGGAUGAUUUUUAUCAAGCUAUCAGAGGAAGGAACAAACAGUCUGGUAUAGUUCCAUGUCAAAAAAAGGGAUUGCAGUUGAUGCUUGAUGGCGAAGAUGUGCAAAUGAUGCUCAAUCAUUUUAUAGGCAUGCAGGAUGAGAAUCCUAAUUUCUUUUAUGCAGUAGAUUUGGACCAUGAAAAACGUUUGAAAAGUGUUUUCUGGGUUGAUGCAAAAGGUAGACAUGAUUAUAGGAACUUCAGCGAUGUAGUUUUCUUUGAUACAUUUUACAUCAGAAACAAGUGUAAAAUUCCUUUUGUUCCUAUUACUGGAGUAAAUCAUCACUUCCAGUUCAUUUUGCUGGGAUGUGCAUUAAUUGGGGAUGAAUCUACUUCAACUUUUGUUUGGUUAAUGCGGACAUGGUUCAAAGCAAUGGGUGGCCCAACUCCUAGAGUGAUUAUCACUGAUCAAGACAAAUUCUUAACAGAAGCUGCUGUAGAUGUAUUUCCUAGUACUGGCCAUUGUUUUUGUUUAUGGCACGUCUUGAGUAAGAUUCCUGAAAAAUUGGGUUGUGUUAUUGAUUGCAAUGAAAAGUUUAUGGCAAAAUUUAAUAAGUGCAUUUAUCGCUCCUGGACGGAUGAGCAGUUUGAAACCAGAUGGUUGAAGAUUGUUGAUAAAUUUGAACUUGGGGAAGAUGAAUGGGUUCACUCCUUGUACAAAGAUCGUGAAAAGUGGGUCCCAACAUACUUGCAGAAUACAUUUUUGGCUGGAAUGUCUACAAGCGAGCGAUCUGGAAGUGUCACCUCUUUCUUUGACAAGUACAUGAACCGGGAAGCUACAUUCAAAGAGUUUUUUGAGCAGUACAAAGCAUAUUUGCAAGAUAGAUAUGAAAUGGAAGCUGAAGCUGAUUCUGAAACACGAAACAAAAAACAUGGUUUAAUGUCUCUCUCAACUUUUGAGAAACAAAUGUCAACAAUUUAUACAGAUACAAUAUUCAAGAAGUUUCAGGUAGAAGUUUUAGGAGUAGUUUCUUGUCAUAUGCGAAAAGAAAGAGAAGAUGGAUCAACUCUGAUCUUUCGAGUUGAUGAUUUUGAAGAACGGCAGAAUUUCUAUGUAGCCUGGAACGAAGCAGAGUUGAAUAUAUGUUGUUUAUGUCAUUCAUUUGAAUACAGAGGUUUUCUUUGUAAACAUGCGAUUCUUGUACUUCAAAUGUCUGGUUUUUCUGAGAUCCCAUCCCGUUAUAUAUUGAAGCGCUGGACAAAUGAUGCAAAGAUGAUUGGAGCUGUUAGUGAAAUAUCAAGCGGGUUUCAUUUCCGAAUGCAACGUUUUAAUGAUCUUUGUAAACGGGCUAUCAGAUUGGGGGAAGAAGGGUCAUUAUCUCAAGAAGCAUAUGAUAUUGCAUUGCAGGCUCUAGGAGAAGCACUGAAACAUUGUGUGGACAUGAACAAUUCAGUUAGGGGUGUUUUAGAGGCCAACACAUCAUCUGCUCGUGGUUUUCUUGGCAAUGAAAAGGAGAAUCGUGGCAACAGCAUGGCCAAGGCAUCAAAGAGAAAGAAAAUGCAUAAGAAAAAAAAGGUCAGUCGAGACUUCACAAUUGACAUGCUGAGACUGUUACCGGCUCUAAGCUGUAUUAAAUAACUUAGCCUUUCAUUUAUACAUUUUAGGUUCGGCCAGAGCCAGAGAGGAUUAGUAUAGGAUUGCAAGACAGCUGCCAGCAGAUGGUUUGUUACAUUUUAAAACUUUAUUUCUCAACAUUUAGUUUGCAAACAUAGAUGCAAUAAGUUCAUUGUGAUACUUAUAGAAGAAUCCUUGUGCUUUCACUUAUGCAGGAUCAGAUGAAUUCAAGAGCUCACACCGUUAAUAAUUGUUAUCUACCUCGACGGGACAUGCAACAAAUGGUAUGAAGACGGUAUGCUGCAAGAAGGAAGUUGUUCGCUAAUUCUUGCCCACUGUGAAGUUUUAAUUCUGGUGUUUCUCAUUUGGGCUUCUUGUAGGACUCCGGCUCUAGAGCACCAACACUUGAUGGCCAUUAUCAUUCUCAAAAUAAUAUGCAAGUUGUGGUAUAGAGUCUUCUGGUUUCAACUACAAUGUAUACAAGUCAAGAAAUUCAGUCUUGUAUCUUCUAGACGUGGAUGACUAAGCCUCAUUUUAAACUUAUUGUAGGGACAAGUGAACUCAAUUUCUCCAAUUUGUGAUGCUUCUUAUUAUGGCAAUCAACAGUGCAUGCAGGGCCAGGUAUGGUUGUUGCUUUCAUUCUGACCUUAUGAUAUCAUAUAUAGAAGCAGACCAAUUCUUCCACUUUUGACUAUUUAGGUUCAAUAAUUUUCAGGGACAAUUACAUUCCAUUUCAGCACGUGUUAGUCACUAUGGGACUCAACAAAGCAUGCAUGGAUUGGUACACAUUUCACAUAUUGUUGUUUAAUGAGCAAUUUGGUUUUUCAGUUAAAAAUGAUUUAAGUAUAGCCAUCUCAAGUAUUGAUACAUAGGUAGUUACAGGGACAACUCGGUUUCAGAGCAUCAGCCAUGCAUGGAUGCUUUGACAUUCAGGAUUCUUUGCAAGACAUGGUGUGCAUAUUGAUAGUUUGUUUAAAUCUCAAAAUUUUGAAUUCAUUUUUGUUUUCCAAAAAUGGAAUUUGUACACAGUUGAGUUUUUCUUCUUCUUGAUGUAGGAUGAAAAUUCUGCAGGCUCUACCCAGUUUCAUGGUAUCUCUUCAAAGCGUUUGCAAGAUAAGAACAUCUCUCGUUAGUGGAAAGGUUGAAUGUAUAUUUACUUUUUAUGAGUUGAUAGAACAUUAGUCAAUUAACCCUAUAGCUCAUGUAAAUUUUCACCGCCUCUUUGAAGAUUCUUUUCAAAUCAAAACAACUCUAUGUACAUUAUUCACUUCAACUCUUUUUGGUGAACAAGUAUAAAAUAAAUACUUUAAUGAGAAUGUUUUUCAUAGACUUGGAGAACAUUCGACAUUGCUCAUGUUGCAGCAGGCAAUAUUGUCAGUCACUUGAUGUUUCAUUAUUAAUGCAGCAUUUUAACGUUUCAUUUCUACUGUAGCACUUUAACUUCAUCAAAUGUUAUCUGGUUGUCGCAAAUGCAAAUAUGCUUCUUAAAAGAAGGCAUCUCUCACCACAUGUUUAUGAGUAGUGAACUUCAAUAACUCAAAAGCUCUUGGUUCUUAAACAAUAUUUUGCCAUUUUACUUUCCCAUAUUUGAAAAUUCAAUUCUCAAAGAUUCUUUAACAAUGAAAACCGCGAAAAAUUAUUGUUGAAAACUAUUACAGGUUCUCCUUACUGCAAUUGUUUGUUAAUUGCAGUUGAGAACAAAUAAUAAACUGUACAGUCAGUGGACAGCCGAUCUCUCCCUCAAUUUGCACCAUAAACCAUUUUUUGUAUGGAUUGUUGCUCCAGUAACAAGUUCCACAGAUUCUGGAGAUCCUUUCAGCUCAAUAUCAAACUUCUGUAACAACAUAGCUAAACCUACAGUUGACUCCAUGACCGCAAAUUGGUCUCCGACACAUUUUCUUGGUCCCCCACCAAAUCCCAAGAAAGCAUAAUCUGAUACAAUCUGGGAAUUGCAAUCAUAAUCACAAUGGGAAAGAGUGAGUAAAACAUUUUGAAUGCUAAACAUAUAGAGAUUGUUAGAUGGAUUACCUCAUUUGGGUAUAAUGCUCCAGGACUUCGAGAUGGAUCGAAACCACUCCAUCCUUCAAUGCCUACAUCCUUCCGAGGUUUUAAGAACCUUUCGGGUUCAAAUUCAUGGGGCCGGUCCCAGAAGUAUGGUGAUCUAUGAAGAUUAUAUAUCUAAGCAAUGAUUUUUAUGGAAAGAGAUCAGUUAAUCGAUGCAAAGAAGAAGCUAGAGCAAAGAGCUUAGAACAAAAAUGUCGUAAUCGAACAUAAUCUCAUGACAAAUAGAGCUAAAUUUCAGGCUCAAAUCUGAUCCUUUGAUAAGCAUACCAUAUCGGCAAACAAUGUGAACAAAAUAAAUAAAUGAGGCAAAUAUAACUGCUGCUUACAGAGAGGAAGAUAUCGGUCCCAGCAGGAACUGGGUAACCAUCUUUGUCACCCCUGUAUCCUCCUGCAGAACCAAAGGCUAGUGCUUAACCCAGAUAUCCCAAGAAAAUACUGAACAUAUUAUCUGCCUAAGGAUUGAGUGAGGCAUGAGAAUACCUGGUAAUACAUCUGGUUUGAUGGUGCGUCUAAUGAGCAAUGGGGGUUGAGGAUAUAGACGAAGAGACUCUGCAACAAUAAGCCUUAUGUACCUAAAAACAUAGGACAUAUGGUAUAUAUCAAACCCCUUACCAGACGAUUUAGCAUUUUCAGAAAAUCUACAUCAUCUGAAAAGAGUUGGGACAAGUUAUUUAAUAUACAAUAGAUGAGUCAGAAUUACAAUAGAAGCCUGUUCAGAAACAGUGGAUGAAAUUUUUUUUUAAGUUUUAAAAAUCCAAUACAUAAUUAUGAUGAAAAAUGACCUUAAGAAAUAAAAGUUGUAGUUCAUCACACCUUGAAAUAUCAGGGUGGAAAGAUUUCCAUUACCAAUGACUGGUUGGAGAGAAACAAAUUAAAACCUCAUUCAAUCUUUAACACAGCCCAUGUCUCAUAAGAAUCUCAUAAUCCUCUGGUUUUCCCAGAACUAAGACAUGAAUGAUUCAUUUACGAUUAAGGAAUGUUGUUAUUAAUUUGCAAUCAAUGCAUAUCUUAAUUUUGCUUCAUAACUAUGCACAUAAAUGCACACAACUAUAGAAAAAUAAGACAAAUUCAUGUCACAGCUAACAAUGAAUAGAAUAAGUUUAUGAGAAAGGAUGACUUCAACACCUACUCCAGUUUUUUAAGUGAUUCAAAAGUUGGUUUCUUCUGUCCCAGCACUGAAUCAACCUCAGCUUGAGCUUUCUUGACUUUUGAGGGAUUCUGCAGCAGAGGAAAUUAAUGCAUCAGCAUGGUCAGAAGUUCUAUAUCUCUUCCUUUUACUAUCAAAUGUGAGCAUUUAGCUCACAAGGUUAGAAUCUCCUUGAUGAAACACAUUAAAGAAGACGGCAUCCAAUUGGAGAAAAAAAAAAAGAAAAGGAAAAAGGAAGAGAAAGAAAGAAAAGAAAGGUUGUAUCCUAAAGGUAGUAGUGAAGAAUCAUACUUGAGCCAGAAGAAAAACAGCCCAAGUAAGAACAGCAGCCGUCGUUUCAUGGCCAGCAAUAAGCAUUGUCAUCAGGUCAUCCCUUAGCUGUUAAAAGAGUAAAACAAAAAAAAUCUGUGAAUAAAACAUGAGUUUGAUCUAUAAUUAUUCUCAAUAUAAGUUUAGACAUGCCCGAAGAGAUGCAUGGGUUAAAGCAUGUUCAUUUUCUAACGUUUAUUUACUCUCAUAUGCAGGGAAUGGCUGAGAUAAAGAAGAAGUCCUUAUAAUUCAGAAUAAUGGGUAGAACAACCACUUGUGUUUUGUCUGAGAAAGUGAUUUUUUAGCCAGCAACUUUAUCUCUGGAAACACUGAAUUGGGUAACCUAAAGACAUCUACCUGACGGUCAUCAACGUCGGCUCCUCGCAUAUCAACUAAAAAACGCAGGAGACUUGCAUCCUGCAAACUUUAUGGUUAUAAUGCCAGAAUUUCCACAAAUAUAUAUAAACAAAUAGAUAAUUUUGCAAUAAGAAGUUAACAAGCUAAUUUUUGUGAGGAAGAUACUGACACACCUUGAGAUUUGAGUAGUCCCUGCUCUGCAGUUUCUCAACAUCGGUUUCCUGUCAUGUAAUGCAAUCAAAUCAAAGGUCUAGGCAUUGGUUCCAAUUAUAGUAUUUGGUUUCCUUAUCCACAUGCUACGAGAAAGGAAGCUAUCUCACAUUGACAAAAGAGCCAGGUAAGGCAAUGGAAAGCUAAAGCAGAAACAGAAUAAUGCAAAAACAAUUCAAGGUCCACAUGAAGCUUCAGGGUACAAUAAUGUGGCUGCUACCGUCUUAGUUUCAAGUUUCAUUUACUUAAAUAGAAAUGAUAUAUGGUUCAAGAGUAAAGAAAAAUAAAGAAAGAAUCCAAUUUUCUUUCCUUUCACAUGAUCUUUAAAGCUUCUUACCUGUCUAGUCUCUUUUGCAUUUCUGAUGAGUCCAUCAAGACAGUCAUUGAUAAUUUUAAGGUCAUUCUGGAAUUUCCUUUGCCUGGGAACUAUCCACCUUGCCAGAGGAAUUUUCCAAUAAGGGAUAUAGAACGUUGAUCUAUGCUCAGCCUCAAAAAGAGUACCAUACACCGCCUAUAAUACAUUUACAGAGAGUGCUAAUCAGGGAUUAUUUGCAUCUAAUGUGGCUCAAGGAAAAAGAGGAAUGUAAAGUUGAGGGCAGGAAAUUAAGAUUAGGAGGAAAACGUUGAAAUACAGUGGAAAAGUAAUAAAACAUCAGAGCGGAAUUUUAAUAAUGUAUUUCUUUUCCUUUCAAACCUUUAUGACAGGAGACUCUUUUGUAACAGAACCAAAGUCAUAGUUGAAAACACCAAGCCCAAUAAUAUCGAGAGCCAAACUUGAAAACUCUGCUUCAAGAUCCAACUCAGUUGAAUUCCCUCCACGUGAGUCCUCUCCUAGAAGUUUCUCAAAUUUCAUUAUUGUUCUUUCUGAACAAUCCGCAAACAUGUUCACCAUAGCUUCCAAGUAUAAGGCAUGGAACCCAGGAGCAAUAACUGCAUAUAGUGAUGAAACAAAGUAAAAGCAGUAGUUAUAACAACUAAUAACUAAAUGUGUGUGUAUAGGGAUAUACAUUUUCUUUUGUGGAACAAAAAUAUACAUAGUUCUGUAUUCCUCACCUCGUCUCCGUUGCUUCCAAGUGUCAAGGUCAGCAGGUAUAAGUCCUUUUCCCAUUAUUGGUUCUAGAAUUUCAGCAAGAACUCCCUAAUUAAAAUAUGGCAAUUUGUGUAAAAUGAAUAAAUUAAUAUGCAGAACUAGAUUAAGCAAUAAAAUAUGAAGUCAAAUUAAGCAAGCUAAUCCUAGAAAGGUUAAAAAAUGCUAGCAAACUUACAUUCUAAAAUAAUACCAAAACUUGCUAAGCCAACAAGUUCUAAGGUAAUACCUUGUCAUAUGAAAAUGCAUUUUCUCGAAGAAUAUGCCUCGCAAUGAUGGGAUCUGAUACGACAACAAAUGCUUUCGGCCCGAAAGCAAGUUUAUAUACUGAGCCAUGCUGCAAAAUUAACAGACAUCAAUACAAAGAACAAAUACAGGUCUCUAGGCAAUCAUCAAUGAAGUAAAACCAAAAAGAAGCAUUUGGUUGAGACAACAUUAUGCAACAAUUUGGCUGCAGUUGCUACAAAUUAAUGGCAAACUAUUCUAGCAAAUACUCAAUUGAACUGCCACUACACCCCAUGACACCAUCUCUACCCUGAUGAAACCUUAUGUACCUAGGUACCUUCAACGCAGCCCUGAGUCAAUCAACCAACAGUUGUUACAGCAAACACAAGCAUUACCAAUGACACAUUGAAAAUACAAAAACUUUUAAGUUUACAUGCCGAUUAAAGCAUCAACGGAAUUAGUGUUAAAUUAACCUCUAUAAACCAGUCAUAGAGGGAGAAGAAGAGGGGGCGGCCAAACAAAUCAGAGACGGCUCCUUCAGCUACAGGCAUUGAACCAAGACUUCCGCCACUUAACAAAUUCGUAAGAAGGUUACUUGCAUUGUCCAAAAGAUUCCUUCUUGUUUUCGGUUCAUUAGUGCCAGUGGACUGGCAUCUACACGAGAACAGUUGAUACUACUUCAGUACAAACACAAUGAUUUCAAUGAAUUUUCACUACAACAAAAAGAAAAUAAGAAAAAUGAUAUAUUUUCUUCAAAUUGGCUAAAACCUAUGGUUAGUUGGCAGAAAAAAUUAAAAUCAGUAAAUAACCGAACUUGAAGUUCAACAAGACUCAGGUUUGCUUAACAAGUUUUACAAUCAACACAUGUUCAAGUUUCAUAAAUAUAGAGAAGCUAGUAAGCAAAGCAUCAGAACUAAAAAAGAAAAAGAGAGGUGUUUGGUCUCCAAGAAAAUUGCCAGAAAGAAAAUAAAAUGGCAAAGAAACUACAAGCCAGAAAUUGCAAAAUACUUGAGACUGAACUGCUUACAGAAGGCAAAAACUAUUCACAAAAACACAAUAACCAAUAACUAAUCCCCGUCAAACAUGAAGCCUAUAAGCGGAAACUGAGUGAGAAUUGAAGUACCUGACAGACGGAGACUCUUUUGGCUUAGAAUUGACAAGAUGAGUCCUUGAGUUACUACCCACAAACCCAAAUUCUCUAGCAUGAAAACUGCCAUAACCAACUGCUGAAGAGAGAUGAUGAUGAAAGAUACAAGUUGUUGUAGUAGCCAUUGCAAGCCAAAAUGCAAUAAGGCCAGCGAGCCACACCACAGCCAAAUGAUAGAUAUAAUAUGAUAUAUUAAGAUUCGAAAAAAAAAAAAAAAAACGUAUGUCUCAUGUAAAUUAUAUGAUAUGAAUUAUCACUUGCUACGUGCCCACUGCCUAACCCACCUCUGUAAAUUUUGGAGUAAAAUGGCGAAGCACUUGAAUGACAAAAGUGCUUUCCACUUCACCGUCCUAUCUUUUUUUUUUUUUUUUUUUUUUUCAACCACCCACUUCCAUGUUCCUGUAUUUUGGAUUUUGUCAGCCACGCACGUUUGGUCAUUGUUGCAAACAUAGAUUUUUCAAUGUUAGAAUUUUAGAAAUAUUUAAAUGUCCCUCUAUCUUGUUGAAGUAAAAUAAAACUAACGUAUUUAAUUAUUUUAAAGUUUUAUGAUAUUUUUUUAUAUAUAAAAGAUUAAAAUAAUUAAUUUAAAAUUUUCUAUAUCAAAAGACAUUGAUUAUUUAUUUUUUAAGUUCGAUGAAAUUUCAUCAAUUCUCCAAAAUCCUUGAAACACUAAAAAGAUUACUGAAGUAAUUUUCAAAAUAUAAAUCAUGUAUAAAAUCAACAGCACCGGGCCACGCCCAUAAUUUGAAUACAAGCUGCGAUUAAUCCAGCCCAAUCCGGAAAUGGGCCUCCUGUAAAGCCCAUUAACAAACGGUAUUGUACCUUGUAUACAGAACGCAGCUUACACGUGUAGCACAGGCGCAGCAAGUAAAAGACAAAGAAAGAAGACAGGCAAUCUAAAGGUUUGCCGCAAAUUGAGCAAGAACAAGAAGAGUCGGCCCUCGAAAGUCGAAACCAAACAGAACAUGAAAACAUUUACCAGUCAAAAGCACGUGGGCGUCACGCCGUUAAAUUCAAUGCGACACUCAGUUGUUUUGUAUUUCGAUAGCUUUCGGUUUGUCGAGAACUGCGUCGAGAAUUCGCCGCAGUAUUUAAUUUCUCAACGAUUUCUCUAAGCCAUGCCACUACUUACCAGUUACCCCAUCGCCAUAAUGAUGACUUAUUUAAUCAAAUCGUGCAUGAAAUAUGUUCACAUCUUGACUCAAUUUUUUUUUCCCGAAAAGAUAAACUGAUGAAAAAUGUUCUCAUUUUUAUUGAACUAUUUUUUUUUUUCAAAUCUUGAUCGAGAAAUGACAAUGUUAAUAAAUAAUUUUUAAUAUGAAAAAAUAGAUACAUUUUGGAGAUUAUUUUAAAUAAAAAUAAUUCAGUCUAAAAUACUCACAGGUUGUAGUUUUUUAUUACCUUGGCACAAAUUUUAUUAACAUAACUCAUAUUUUUAUACUUUUGUUCGAAUAAUUAUUUUAUCACAUCAAUUUAUACAAAAUUUGUUUGUAUAAAUAUUCGUGCCUUAAUAAUUAUUUUUAUUAUAUAUUUUUUUAUUUAUUUAUUUCAUUCUUCUAAAUUAAAACGUAUGUCAUUAAAAUUGGAUCAUUAACAUCUCGCUUUCAAUGCAAUAGACCAAAUCAAUUGGAUUAGCCACUGCAGAUAGUUUUAAAUAUUAGAUUUUUUUUUCUUUUGCAUCCUACAAACUCUUAAUCCACCAAGAUCCAAGGAUGUAAAAUAAAAUUUUAAUUGUCAAAUACAAGUAAACGAGUAGUGAAAAAAAAUGUGGGUGAUAGCUAGUUGAGAACGCAAAAUCUCUUGUGUUGAAAAUAAGAAAUCUAACAUUUAAAAUUUGUUCGCUUAGGUGAGGAGGAGAUUAGAUUAUAGUUAGACUAAAUAAUAAUUAAAAAAAAAGUAGUGAGAGAAUGUUACUUGUCAAAUAAAAAUAGUUGUUUAUAAAUAAUAAUGCUACACUUGAGAAGCACUUGGACGGCAAAAUCACUUGUUCACUUAUGUUUAGUUCAAUCCACUAAAAAUAAAAAUUGAGGAUAGUUGUCUCUGUUAAUGAGAGAAGAUCUCUUGUCUUUAUUAACGAAUAUUUUUUAUUUAGGUUCGAUAGAUCCUAUUAUUACAACGUUGCUAUUAUUGUAUGAAUUUAGACUCUUAGUAGGUCUCUUUAUUAUACGUGGUUAUUCCUACAUGAAUCUAGACUCCUAUUAAAUCCCUUAUUGUAAUAUAAAUCGAUGUUUAGUAUACCCUAUUCACUUAUGCUAUAUUUUGUAAUAUGCGUUUACCCAAUUUUGAAAGCGCAACCGUUUUAAAUCCAUAAUUCGAUAAACCUUAGCAUACUUUUCUUCUAUUCCUUCUCUCAAUCUUUUUCUUCUCAUGAAGGUACAUCAACUAUUAUUUUAAUGAAAAAAAAAAAACUCAAAGAAAAUUGGUAGCUAAAAUCAUCACAAUCUUGAAAUACUUUGUGUGGGCAAAUCCCAAGAGCUAAAUGGUUCUUUAAUAUUAAUUGGAAUUUGGAAAACACAAGGUGGUUUCCUCUAACUGGUUCCCCACGUUCCUUGAAGACUCCAAGUCAUACAAGUCACCUACCACCAACGAGAAGUCGUAUGCCGACGUGGCCACAUGGGUCGAUGACGUCGUCAUCGCAUUUUAUUGAAGCUUCUGGGGAACCAGGCAUGCAUUAAUUUAAAACAUCAUAAAAUAAAAAUAGAAGUACGGAAAAUAUUGUAACUCUUAGUUCAGAAUCUAAAUCUAAAUCUAACAAUUCAAGUUAUAUACAAGUCUCAUGAAACUAAAUUUAAUUUAGGGUACAGUUUGGAAUUGAGGUUGGAUAACUGUAGUUUUUAAGAUACAGCACUAAAGUAUUUGGUAAAUACUAACUACUGUAUUUUUGAAAAUUAUGUUAACAUAAUUUUUUAUUUGUAUAAUAAAAAAUCUAUUAUGUUUUUAAUAAUUUUUUUAAAAUUAUUAUUUAAAAUUUAUAUUUACUACAUAUUAUUAAUUUUUAUUUUAUAGUUAGAUUUUUUCCACAAUAACUGUAACUUAAAAGUUACAACACCUCAACUUCAAACAUGACUUUAAUUCUAAUUGUUCAAAUUUCAAAUAGAUGCAUUGGGUUUUAAAUAUUUUUAGACUUGUUCAUGAAUGAAAAUUAUAUAGGUGUGGAUGUUUGUUUUUUUUUAAAUUAAAAUUUGUACCGUCCGCUCUUGAUAUCAAGAAUUAUUGUAUGAAUGAGAAUUAUUGAUUUCAAUGUGCUAAUUAUGUAAUUAUUUUAAAUAUAAAAUUUAAAAAAAUAAUUAUUUGAUUCAGAAUUUAACAAAAAACUUCUGACGUAUGAAGAAAUAAUGACUCUUUGUAUCGAUUAUAUUAUUUAUUAUUAAUUCAAAUUUUAACAAAUGAAUGUACAUCUAAAAGAGAUAAAACUCUUUCCAUAAAUUAUUAUAAAUAUAUUAUGUAUCAACAUAUAAUAAUACAUACUAAUUUUAUGUGAUUGGAUGAUCGUAUGAUAACGUGUUCUAGAACCAGAAGGCCUAAAUAUUUUCCACAACAAUCGCACGUGGGCACCACGUGAGGUACCUUGCAGUGAACUUUCUUUUUCUUCUCUCCUAAAAUCAACGGUCAUGAUUUAUUCAUUAGUCUACCUUUGACCACUUUGAAGCCACCACCAUAAAUAGCACAAGAAUCCUACUCUCAUUCCCCUUCCUGAUAACCAAAUAAACAAAAAACUCCAAUAUAUUCACUCAGGGCCAUGAGCGAAACCAUGUCUAGUCCUACUGACUGGGCCAAAUUCUACCAGCAAAAUCUCUCGGGUGCCGACGCGGACGCCGAUGCUGCCGCUGCCGCUGCCGCUUCCACGGGCAUGAUGCUGACAUCAAACAAUCUCUCAAGCCCACAUGGCUCAGCUCCUAGCUCAAGCUCAAACUUAAGCCCUACUGACGGUAGAGUCUCAAAGCCACCCCAUGCACGUAGACGCUCUAGGGCUUCGCGUAGAACCCCAACAACGUUACUCAACACCGACACCACCAACUUCCGAGCCAUGGUUCAGCAGUUCACGGGCGGUCCCAACUCCCCUUUUGCUUCAACCCCAUCUGCACAUCAGAGCUUCGGUUUCGGCCUCGGUGCUGUAGGGAACCGUCAAGCUUCUCAUCUUCAAAACCCUAACCAAAACCCUAGUUCAACAGUCAUGCUUCCAUCACCGGGUUAUCGUUUACAGUAUCAGCCUCAGUACCAGAGUCAGGGGUACAUGAUCUCAAUGGGCAGCGUGAAUAAUAAUCCUGGAGCUGCUGGAGAAGGGUUCUUCCAGAGACUUGGAGGGAAUCCUCGGCCGCCGCAGCCGCCGCAGAACACGGGAGUUUCUGAUGGGUUCUUAAUAGAGAUGAAUAAUGCUUCUUCUUCUUCAUCAAGGGUCCCUUCAAGUUCCAAUGAGAAUAGGGGAAAUGGAUUCAUAUUUUGAAAGAGACGUAAAGCAGAUAGAAACUUAAAAAGAAGAAGAAAAAAAAAAGUUAGGUACUGACUUUUAUUUAGGGAGAAACAUUUGACUCUAAUGUAAAUAUUUCUCUUUCUUUUUUUUUUUUUUUUUUUUGGGAUGUUUGUUUUUGUUUUCACACUUAAGUAAUUUUAACAGUAACGGUAGCUCCUUUGUUGGGCUCUAAUAGUCUAAUUAAUUUGGGGGUGGGGAUUAAGUGUUUCCUAUUUUUUUAAUUAAUUUAAGGUUUCUUUCUUCUUUUGUUUGUUUGUUUAGAUGUUUUGUUGUUUCUUUUGUAAAAUUCCAUGGCUUAACUUUAGCCUAAAGCCUAUUGUCCAAUACGAGAGCGACAAUUAGCAAGUAUUUACUUGGCUCUCAUAUUUUGUAAGCUACUUCUUCAAUAAAAUUUUAUCGCUGAAAAUUUUAGACUUCAUUCGAUUUAAUAAUUUUAUUGAUUUGGUGUAAGAGUACAUGUAAAUGGUAUACAACUCGCAUAUCAUAAUCUAGGGGUUAGGCUCCAUUUGGUAUAAUUUUUUAAAUAAAACUUAUUGAUGUAGAGUUUUUAUUAAUAAAAUUUUUAUAAGUAGAAAUUUUAUCAACAAAUUUUAGUUGUUUGCUUGUUAAUAAAAAUUUUAAUUAAAAGUUAUAAAUAUAUUUUAACGGACAAAAUUUUAAAACUAUGUAUAAAAAAAUGAAAUAUGAAUGUAAAAUAAAAUGUUGGGCAUUUUAGACAUUAAAUCUAAAAAGCUCUCCAACCUCUAUUUUUAAAA